This 88470-nucleotide long non-coding RNA is filed under the name Arabidopsis lyrata. RNAcentral's name for it is "long non-coding RNA (ALYR_LNC002801)". The record is from RNAcentral. Lineage: Eukaryota; Viridiplantae; Streptophyta; Magnoliopsida; Brassicales; Brassicaceae.
CAAUUCAAGGUUUCGACCAACCUAACAUUUCUUUUUGGCAUAUAACCAACCUAGCAUUUUUUAAUAUUCAAAAGUAUGAUAUCUUGGUGUUGCAUGAAUUUGAAUAAUAAAGUUUAUAUAAUAUAUAUUAUGUAAUUAUUUCUGGUUUUGUUUGCACGUGGUUUUGGACUUUAUAUAUAUAUAUAUAUAUAUAUAUAUAUAUAUACGGUUAAAUACAUGUGUAUGCAUGAAUAUGUGUUAAUUAAUGAUAAUUGAACUCAACUCUCUAUAUUUGCUUAACGCCUUGCUUGAUUGAGGUUUAAUUAUUUCUUGAGCCUAGUAACCGAACCAACCUAGGAUUCGCCGAACCGAAAUCAAAUUGAAUUUCAGAAUAUAUCGAAUAAACCGAGCAUAAUAGCUGAACUCAAAAUUGGUGUAACAAAUCAAAUUGCACAAUGUCGGUAAAUUUAUUAAAAUUCAAUAUUUUUAUAGAAAUAUGAAAAAUACAUCUAAACAAAACGCCUACAAUGAUUAAUUAAAACGACUUAUUUACUUAUAUUUUCAUCAGCUUUUUCCUAAAAACUAAUCAAAUUUGAACAUAACCAAACCGAAUCGAAAUAAAAUUGGGUUCUAGUGUUGAUUUUAAUAUUUUUUUGUCAACAUCUUUUAUAAUGAAAACGGUUAAAAAUCCAAACCCAAGGAACAUAGUUUACAUAGCUAAUAUUUGAAAGCUUUUACAAAACUUAGAAGAUAAGAAUGGAGAAGAAGAACUUUUGUUAUUAUUAUCAACUCAACGUUUACAAUCGUAGUACAUAGACUAUAUAAAGACAAGGCUCUCUAAUGAUAGUACGCCAGGUGUCCUUAGCUGCACAUGAUGAGAGCAUCAAAUCUGUUAUUGAGGAAGCUUCUUGGAAGGCUCCUUUGCGCUGAGAGCACACAACUUUUGUGUGUUGGUUUUGGCGGUAACACCUGAGAAGACUGAGAGAUGGGCUUUGACUGAUCUGAGAUCGAGUGGGCUUGUGGUAAAGGCCCAACUUCGGUUUUGCUUACCAAAGCCAAAACCUCUGUUUGAGGCAGAGUCUUCUUCUCUUCAAUACACCCCCUCAAACUUGUUGUCGGAGGAUUGGAGACACCAAGUUUGUAUCGCAAGGAAAAGAACGGCUCCUGAGCAAGGGACUUCGUGAAUAUAUCAGCCAGUUGAUGUUCAGCUGGAAUGUGUUUGACAACAAGAGCACCAUGUGCUACUCUUUCCCGGACAUAGUGGAAAUCCACAUCAAAAUGCUUGGACCGUGAAUGCAGGGCAGGAUUGGCUGUGAGAUAAACUGCAGAGAGAUUAUCAUAGUACAUUUCAGGAAUCUCAGAUUCAGGAAUACCUAGAGAUUGAAGCAGAGCAGAAAUCCAUUUGAGUUCAGAGGCUGCAAAGGACAAUGUUCUGUAUUCAGCCUCAGUGGAAGACUUUGAAACUGUUGGGUGCCUUUUUGCAGACCAGGAGAUGAUGUUGGUGCCAAGAAAAGUGCAAAAGCCUCCAGUUGAUCGUCUAGUGUCCUGGCAUCCAGCCCAGUCACUGUCACUAUACGCUCGUAGAGUAGAAUCUGUAUUGGCAUUGAUGUCAACUCCCAUAUGUAUUGUACCUUUUAAAUACAUGAGGAUACGCUUAAGAAGAUGGAAAUCAGCAACAGUGGGCUUGUGCAUCUUUUGGCACACAAAAUUCACUGCGAAUUGAAUAUCUGGUCUUGUUAACGUCAAGUACUGCAGUUUCCCAGCCAAACUUCGAAAAUAGGUAGGAUCUUCAAAAAUUUCAUCUUGUCCAGAGACUUUAUCAAGCUGAAGUGGUAAUGGAGUAGGCAUUGGUGCACAAUCAAGCAUUCCAGCUGUUACAAGAAGGUCUUUAGCAUACUUCUCUUGAUUCAAAAACAAACCAUCCUUGUGAAAAUGAGCUUGUAUUCCAAGAAAAUAAUGUAAUGGACCAAGAUCUUUCAUACGGAACUCUUCAUUCAGACAAACCAAAAACUCUUGAAUCAACUGAUCAUUGUUACCCGUGAGCACCAUAUCAUCAACAUACAGAAGAAGGAACAUCAUGUCAUUGCCUUUAAUGUAGACAAAGAGAGAUGGAUCUGGAAGACUGCAAAUGAAGCCGAAUUUUAAUAGAUACGUACUGAACUUAUCAAACCAAGCACGAGGAGCUUGCUUGAGACCGUAUAUAGCCUUUUUGAGUUUACAUACGAAGUCUGGUCUGUUAGCAUCUUCAAAUCCCGGAGGUUGUACCAUAUACACUGUCUCCUCUAGAUCACCAUGCAAAAAUGCAUUCUUUACAUCUAAUUGCUUAAUGUUCCAAUGUUGAGUGACUGCGAGAUGAAGUACAGAGCGUACCGUAGCAGUUCGCACCACUGGACUGAAGGUUUCAACAAAGUCAACCCCUUCUUCUUGGUCAUAACCCUUAGCAACCAGUCUUGCUUUCAACCUGUCAAGACUUCCAUCAGAGUGUAGCUUUGUUUUAAAAAUCCAUCGACAUCCGAACACAUUUUCAGCCAUAUCCGGAGGAACCAGAUCCCAAGUAUCAGUUUCAUGCAUUGUAGACAUUUCUUCUCCCAUUGCACUAGUCCACCCUGGGUCUUUCAAUGCAGACUUCACUGUCUUAGGCUCAGGAUAGUUUUCUUUGACCGUGAACAAUGCAUAUUUAGGAUUAGGCUUAACAAUUCCUGCCUUUGCUCUUGUAAUCAUUGGAUGAGAAGAUGAUGUUGCAGUAGAUGGAUCAACAGAGGAAGCUGCUGAAGUACUUUGUUGUUGAAGUAAUGGAGGAAAGUCACUUUCAGUAAAGAGAGAACCACAGUCUUCUGUUGUUUCUGGUAUAACUGGAUGAGUAAGUGUAGAAUUUGUAGUUUCCACAGAUGAUAUAGCCGGUGGUGAUGAAUGAGGAAGCUUAGAUGUGUCUAUCCUACUCGAAGAAACAUGAGAGCUGUUGCCUAUAGAAGUAGGAUCAAAGCCUAUCGUACCCCCAAUACUCUCAGUUUCUUGAAUAGGAGAAGACACAGCAGCAACAUUCUGAGAAUCAAUAGCAGUUGAAACUUUGGUAUUACCAGACUGCCAAGCUGAAAGUAAUGGAGUAUGAGCCUGAGACUUGUAGACAUUAUACUCCUCUGAAUAGGGAAAACGAUUUUCUGAAAAUAAGACAUGUCUACUUAUAUAAACUUUACCAGAAGGAGGAUGAAGACACCGAUAACCUUUAUAUUUCUCAUUGUAUCCCAGAAAAACACAAUGGAGAGACUUUGGAUCAAACUUGUUAACACCAUAAGGACGUAAGUAUGGGUAGCAAGAACAGCCAAAGACUCUUAAAGAGGUAUAAAUAGGAGGCUUCUUAUGCAAAACUUCAUAGGGACUGACCUUGUUGGUAAGAACAGAGGAAGGCAGUAGAUUACCUAAGAAGUUUGCUGUGAAAAAGGCUUCAACCCAUAGUUCUUGUGGAGCAAAGCUUUGAAAUAACAUAGACAAACCCAGUUCUGUAAUAUGCCUAUGUUUCCUUUCAGCAAGACCAUUCUGUUGUGGAGUAUAUGGACAUGACAUCUGCUGUUUGAUCCCUGACUUUGCUAGAUGAGUGACAAAUCUUGUACUAACAAACUCACCCCCUCCAUCACAUUGAAAACUCUGAAUCUUUAGUUGUAGUUGAUUCUCAAUUAAUUGUUGAAAAGUCAGAAACACUGAAUAGAAAUCAGACUUGCUCUUGAGAGGAUAAAACCAAGUGAAUCUUGAAAAGUGAUCAAUAAAUAUAACAUAGUAACGAAAUCCUUGAGGAGAAACAACCGGAGCAGGGCCCCAUAAAUCACAAUGGAUGCGUUCUAAGGGCUGAGAAGCAACAUAAUUUGAAGAAACAAAUGGAAGUCUACUGAUCUUCCCUAACUGACAAGCUUCACAUAGAUGAGAAGGUGCCUUAUUCAUUACUAUAGACUUAUUGCUUGAUAAGAGUUGCAGGAUCUCACUGUGUGGAUGUCCAAGUCUCCGAUGCCAGACUGCUUCACUGGUUAUUUGUUGACGAUUUGAGUAGAAAGUAUCAUGAACCUGAGAAUCCUUUAGCACGUAGAGAUCAUUGCGUCUGCUCCCUUUCAUGAGGAGCUGUUUUGUCUGCAGAUCCUUUAUUUGAACCGAAUGUGCAUCAAAAGUAACAGAACAAGGAUAAUCAGCUGUUAGCUUGGAGACUGACAAAAGAGAUUUUUUGAUAGCAGGACAAACCAAAACAUCAUCUAGUGGUAAAGUACCUUUCAGAGUAGUAGAACCAACAUGUGUAAUAGGCAGAAAAUCACCAUUGCCAACUAUCACUGAAUCUGCCCUUGCAUAAGGUUCAACACUCUGUAAAGCAGAAGGAGAGUUUGUAAUAUGUGCAGUAGCCCCACUAUCAGAGACCCAUUCAUUACCUGCUGCAUACUCUUGAUCAGAAACUCGCAUUGCAUUCAAAGCCUGAGCAAUAUCAGUGUUGUAGUAGUCUUCUUCAAACCGAUGAUAACACUUGUAAGCAGAAUGUCCAAACUUCCCACAGAUUUGACAUGUAGGUCGGUUAUCAGCUUGAGAACCAGUGCUAAACUGCUGCUGAAAACCUCUACCAUGAGUUGAAUAGGAUCCCGAACCUCUACCUCCUCUGUUACCUCCUCUUGAUUGACCACGACCUCUGUUGUUACCAGAAUAUCCACCUCUAUUAGAGUAUCCUCCUCUAUUGUUGUUGGACUGAGAUGAAGAAUAUCCAGGCUUGUCAAAAUAAAAGGCCAGAUGUGGAGUAACUCCUGUUGCAGACUCAUAUUGUUGAAUCUUAUCAUCAAAGUUUGUGAGUUUAAACUCAACAUCUUCAAAACAUGGACCAGGAUAGGAUUCCAUAGAUUCUUCAAUCACAGUACUAAUGGACUCAUAUUCUUUCCCUAAACCAGUCAAUGCACCAGAUAUCUUUUCAUGUUCAGAAAGAGGAGCACCAAUAGAAUCAAGUUGAUCACACAGAGAUUUUAUUUCAGCUAAAUAAACAGCCAUAGUCUUGCCUACUUUUGUUGUUGAAUGAAUCUUCUUCUGGAGAUCUAACUUUCUAGUAGCAGAGACUCGGUUAUACUUUUUAGCCAGAGAAAACCAUACCUCUUGAGAUGAACGAAGACCAUACACACUCUUAAGAGCAGUUUCUGAAAGAGAUCCAAACAGCCAGGCCAUGACUAGCUGAUCUGAUUGUAUCCAUCUCACAAACUCUGGAUUGCUGAUCUCUGUAGCUUGGCCAUUGUUAUGAACCACCAGUGUUGGAGUCGGACGUGAAAUCGCCCCAGUAACAAACCCUAAAAGCAUCUGACUUGACAAAAAUUGCUCAAACUGUAAUUUCCAGAGCAAAUAGUUGUUGUCAGUAAGCUUUAGAGUCACACACUGAGAAAUGGUAACAGUAGGUCUAUAAAAGGUUGUAGCAUCAGAUUGAUGCUGAGCUUGAAAAGAAGGUGAUAAAGAUGGAGAUGGUGAAGGAACAUGAAAUGAUGGAGGUGGUGGAAGAUUCAUAGAUCCAGAAGGAGACUGAGAAAAGAUGACAGCUGCAGUCUGAGGAAUAAGAACUGCAGGAUUUGAGACUGGUUGAGAACUCAUAGAUUGAGAACUCAUAGAUGCGGAAGAAGAGCUAUCCAUGGCUCUGAUACCAUGAAAGCUUUUACAAAACUUAGAAGAUAAGAAUGGAGAAGAAGAACUUUUGUUAUUAUUAUCAACUCAACGUUUACAAUCGUAGUACAUAGACUAUAUAAAGACAAGGCUCUCUAAUGAUAGUACGCCAGGUGUCCUUAGCUGCACAUGAUGAGAGCAUCAAAUCUGUUAUUGAGGAAGCUUCUUGGAAGGCUCCUUUGCGCUGAGAGCACACAACUUUUGUGUGUUGGUUUUGGCGGUAACACCUGAGAAGACUGAGAGAUGGGCUUUGACUGAUCUGAGAUCGAGUGGGCUUGUGGUAAAGGCCCAACUUCAGUUUUGCUUACCAAAGCCAAAACCUCUGUUUGAGACAGAGUCUUCUUCUCUUCAAUAAUAUUUUGUGGACUCUGUUGAUUCUUUUAAGUUUUAACUAAAUUUUUUUAAAUCCAAACCGACUGAAGGAAAAACUGAAUGCCCAAGCUUUUUCUAUUGCAUGAUAGCAUGACCAAAGAAAGUAGUUGUAUGUCAAGCAUAUUGUCUCUUAAGUAUUAACGCCCAUGCAGUUGUAAAUUAAGCUAGAGAUUUUCGUCCGUUUAUUAUGCAUAAAUUUAAGAUAUGAAUACUUAUUUCAUGAUAUUCCAUAUCUAUUUCUACUAAAUAAACAGUCACUUUACUAAAAACUGCCACACUCUUCUUCUGACACGUGGCAAAACUUUCAAAUUUUGUUGUUUCACUUUCGUAAUCCAUUUUUCCUGAAUUUUUUGACAAAAAAUAUAUAAAAUAUCUUACCACUUUCUUUCUUAGUAACUUCUUCUUCUCUUCUUUUCCAUAACCUUAGAUCCUCCAUUCUUUCUUCGAAAUCCUCCAUUUUUUCUCAUAUUUUUUUUAAAUGAGAAGUCGAGAACCAUCCACUAUCUUUUAAUAUUUUUUUGUUUUAAAUCUAUAUUAAAAAAAUCCACGUUUUUAUUUUCUUCAUAAUCCACGAUCCCUAACACAACUUCAAAUCUCAAAAUCGUUUUAUUGCAAAUGCAGAUGUAGCAGUACUUACUUUUAAUGUAAAAACAGUUCCUAAUCAGGCCUCAAAAUCGUCCUUCAUGCUCGACCACGAGUAUAAUGCGUCCAUCAAUUCCCGGUCCAUCCUCGGCGUUUAUUCAAUACAAGUAAGUUUUGAAAACAAAGUUUGAAUUUUUGUUUUCCUUUCGUUUUUCAUUUCAUAUUCGUUCUUUUCUCCUUCUUUUUUUCUAUGAUUUUACUUUGCUUUUUAUUAGACAGCAAGAGAACAAAAAGUUUGGAUCCUCAAGCUUAGCUUCAAAGAAAUUAAAAUAUUAUUAGAUCCUCAAACCAUGAUUGGAUCAUCAAAUCAAGGUUUCAAUGAAGAAGUUAUUUUUAGAACGAAAUGGAAAGAGAAGCAUGUUCGGUUUGCUAGGAAAUUCGGAGAUGGAGCAAAGACUUUCCACAACCAGUAACGUAUAGAUUGACUUUUUAUAUUUAUAAUUAUGUAGUACGCUCACAAAGUUUGUCGUAUUUCAUCAAUAAUUUGUUUGUUUCAUAUAUUUUUUUUAACUAUAUAAGAUAAUGGAUUCAAUGCACUUCUAUUUUAAAAAAAAAAACUAAAAACAAUAUAUAUUUAAUUUUCCCAAAACAUUUUGAAUUAUGAUGUAAAUUAGUAUUUAUUUUAUCCAUGUAUAGCAGGGGCAUAAUAUUAGUUAUUCGUUAAUGCACCAUGCAUAUUAUAUUAUUCUUGAUUCAAAUGCAUGAAUCGAACAUAAUUAGUCUUGUUUAGCCCAUAUUAUACUUAAUCCAUGUGCUCCAAUCGGAAUUCAGUCGUAAGUUUCUUAAAGAACCUUUAUCAUCAAAAAAACUAACAUUAAUGGUUAUUUUCCAUACAUAUAAAUUGAAACAAACCUUAAAAAAAAGUUAAUCAAGAUUCAAACACUUUAUCGUACUAAAUUGUAUGUGGGUCUUACUAAAUUUAUUCUAUACCAAACAAAUCAAUAUUGCAAGAGGUUAAUUUAGUCCCAGAUUAACAUAGUUAGUAGCAAAUUUUUCAUGUAUAUAUGAAUUUUGUUGAAAGGGACACAAAAUAAAUAACUAAUAGAGAUAGGUUUAUCUCAUAAAAAGAAAAACUAUGAGGGAUAAUAUUAUCCCACAUUGGAAAGGACAAGGGAUCUUGACUAGUAUAUAAGAUAUAUGGGUCUCUCCACUCAUCGCCAAUUGGUUUUGAGUUGGAAGCCCAUAUUCUAGAUUGGCUCUAGCCAUUGAUCUCGGUAUGCUCGUGCAUGGAUCGUCGGGCAACUAUUGGUCGAUGGUGGAUUGGAUUUGGACAUGUACGGAUCGGACUCUGAUACUAUAUUAGAAUAUGGGCUUCCAACUCAAAACCAAUUAGCAAUGGGUGGAGUGACCCAUAUCCUUUAUAUAUUACUUAGGAUCUCUUCCAACUUCCGAUGUGGGAAAUUAUGUCCUAAUAAAAACAAGUAUCUUAAAAGAAAAGGGAAAAUUAGUGACAACCAGAUGAGAAUAGGAUUAAAGUGUUUUUAGUGUCCUACAACCAUGUGGCGGUUGACAUCGUCCAGAUUAUAAUUGUCAUCCAUACUUCCUUGUCUUAAAAGUGAUCUAAUAACAGUGUCAAAAUGAUAACUUCGUCUUCUUCUUCUUUUGUAUUAUAGGACAAUUGCGAAGAAAAUUCCCAAUUUUGUAUAUACAGUAAAACCUCUAUAAAUUAAUAAUGUUAGGGCCAUAAAAUUUUAUUAAUUUAGAGAGGUAUUAAUUUAUAGAAAGAUUUUCCUAAUUUGGUAAUUUCUUAAAAAUUACCAUCUAAAAAUAAAAAAUUUCUUUAUAAGCAAUAUCUUUUUUAAACCAAUUGUAAGUAGAGAAGCAAUUAUUAAGUUUAAAAAACAACACAAAUUUUUUUUAAUAAUAGAGUCAUAUUUCAUUAAAAAUUUUACAUAUAAUAUUUUAAAUAUAUAUCGUAGUAAUUCAUAUAUGAAAUAUAUAAAUUUAUAUCAUAUAUAUAUUAAGUUAAAUAUACAUAUAUAUAUAUAUAUAGGUUUAUAUAAUUAUUAAUUUAUGAUAUAGAUGGGACUAUACGUUUAUAUGAGAUUUUCAAAAAAAAUAUUAUCUUAUUAAUUUAGCGAGUUAUGUCAUAUUUUACAUUGGUCCCAACUCGGGACCGGAAGAAUUUAUUAAUUUAGAGAGGUUAUUAAUUUAUAGAAUAUUAAUUUAUAGAGGUUUUACUGUAUCUCAAGAUUAGUUUCGUUUUAUAGUAACAAAUGAAAAGACUUUGAAGUGUGACCUAUUUAAUAUGUGAUCAUCAUCGGUUAGCAGGCUAGAAAAAUAUUGUACUUAUGUAAAUUAAUUUUGCAUAUUAACUGUUGCAUGUAGUGAUAUAUGUAAGUAUGUAACUAUGUAAAUAAGGUUCCAAUAAGAAUAAAUUUAAGUGCAUGUCUUCAAAAAAUGAGUUCUUUUAAGUUUCUAUAAACUUGUCAGAAACUUAUUUUUUUCAAUCAUGCAACACAACUAAUAAAGUUAUAAAGAAAAUAUGACUGGACCAUUAGAUAGCUAUCGACUUUUUGAAUUAUUGCUAAAUGCUCUAUCCUUGAACAUGUAAAAUAUAUAUAUAUAUAUAUAUAUAUAUAUAUAUAUAUAUAUAUAUAUAUAUAUAUAUAUUUGUGGCUAAAAAUUGUUGAAAUCAAUAAUUUGAAUGUGUAGAACCUUUUUUCAGUUUUUUUUUUCUUGAAUUAUUUAUAUACUUCUUUGAAAGUACAUAAAAAAUACAGUAUCCUAAAAUAAAACGAAGGAAAUAUAAGAUUAUGUGUCACGGUUAAGUAGACCGUAUUAAUUAGAGUUUGUACCGGUAAACCGGAUGUGGUUAUUUCACUAUAUAUUCUCUACCACAUGUAACAGAUCAUUUGUGAGAAAUACAAACUUUUAUCUUUUCUUCGAUUUCUCACGAAUAUUAAUAUGGUAUAAGAGCACAAUUCUUCCGUUUUUCGUCGCAAAUUCCGCCAAUUCUUCGAGUUUACUUCAUUAUCAUCUCCAUCAUCGAUUUCAUCCAUUUCCACCAAUUUUUCUUCGUUUUCUUGAAUUUUUCACUUUUCCGAUCAAAAUCCGCUGAAUACGAUGGUUGCUGUUCACAAUUUACCGCGUCGUACUCUGUGAUCACGUCGUUCAGAUGAAAGAACUCCUCCUAUACGCGAAUCAACUCCGGCUUCAUCGCCAGUGGCUCAUAAUUCUCCGAUUUUCACUCAAAUGGCUUCCGAUCCUCCGAUUGAUUACACGGAUUUGUACUCUCAUUAUGCUUUGACGAGUGGAGACAAUCCGGGGAAUGUUAUCAUCACCGAGGUAUUAGAUGGAACCAAUUAAUCUUCUUGGACUAUCGCUAUGUCUGUUGCACUCGAUGCGAAGAACAAAAUGGCUUUUAUCGAUGGAUCUCUUCCUCGACCUCUUGCUACAGUCACUAGUUUUCGUUAUUGGUCUAGAUCAGUGGCGGAGGUAGGGUGUUAGUAGGGGGUCACUUGACCCCCAUAACUUUUAGAAAGUUUUGUUUAUUAGGCUUAAUUAUUUGGUAUUUGUUAAUAAUUUUGUUUAAAAUGUUAAUGUUGACCCCAUUAACUUAUCUUCAAAUCAUGUUUUUGCACCCCUUUUAUUAAUUUUUUUUUCUAUUGACUCCUGUCAAAUUUAUUUCUGGUUCCGCCACUGGUCUAGAUGUAACAGCAUGGUGAAGUCUUGGAUCUUGAACACUGUGAGUAAACAGAUCUAUAAGAGUAUUCUUCGCUUUGAUGAUGUGUCUGCAAUUUGGAAGGAUAUUGUCCCACAUUGGUUGAGUUUGUGAUUUUUGGGUAGUAUAUGUGUUAUGGCAAUCCUUCUCCUUUGAGCUAGCUUUUGGGUGUGAGUUAGGCCCACACUAAUAUGGUAUCAAAGCCCAGACCUAAUUCUGAUUGUGGACCACCCGUGGAUGUCUACUCCCACAAACUUCACGCUUCAGAUAUCCAGUCUUGAGCGUGAAGGGGGUGUGAGAAUAUUAUCUCACAUUGGUUGAGUUUGUGAUUCUUGGACAGUAUAUAUGUGUUGUGGCAAUCUUUUUCCCUUGAGCUAGCUUUUAGGUGUGAGUUGGACCUACAAUAAAAAAAAUAGGAUGCACGUAGACAAAUUUACUCUCUACUUUUAAAAAAUGACUGGUCCAUGGAAGUUGCUUAGGUAAGCAAAAAUAUUAUAUUAACGUUUGUUAUUACUUGUAUUAAAAACUAACAACUAAUAUGUGUAAUUAUAGUAUCACAUCCAUAGGUCAAUCUGUUGUCUACACUCAUUUAUACCAUUUGAAACUACUAUCCACAUUUAGACUAACUUGCGAAACCGUUUUGUUUUUGCAUCUAACUUGCACGCAUAUGUAUGCACUGGAAAUUUUAAAAAUUCUACACAUAAAGUGAAGGACUACGUACACCCUUUUUUCUUUAGACCAUCCAGCCAACAAAACUUCCCUCCAACAUAAAAGCAUAUGGUAUAUAUAUAUAUCCUAUUGAAAUAACAGUUGGAUGGUGCCAUCAUUGUUUACUUGACUCUUGACUAUACCUUUCAAAACAUUACUAAGCCUUUGAAAAGUCAGUUUCAUCGCAAUCAGAUUUGGUGUUCAAGAUCGAGCCAUUCCUAAAAACUACCUAAAAACCAUGUUGAAAUAUAUAAAUUUAGACAUAGUUGUGGUCAACAUAUUUUACUAAAAUUACAAAAGAAGUUUGUAGGAAUCGUGUGAACUAACUAAAGAUUGUUACGGCCGGUAAAAUAUAAAAAUUAUAUUCCUUAUUAGCAAAUUUAAACCGUAUAAUUGAAGGAAAAAAAACGUAGAAAACAAUAAAGGAAUAAUUGGCACGACGUUAAGCUUAACUUUACAUGGAAUGAUAGAGAGAAAAGUAGAGAUUUCACAUCAAUUAUUUCUAUUUUUUCCUUUUUCUUUGCAUUGCUUUAGUGAUAAUUCACAUUAAUUGGCAAUACACACCAUGUGAGAAAUAUUCAAAGGAACAGAAUAGGACAAGCUCCAAAGAUAAUUGUUUACCUGUCACUUGUCUUGUCCCACUUUCUAAUUGUAUUUGAUAACUCUCUUAUCAUUGUUUUCUACAGUUUUAUCAUUAGUUAGUCACUAUUAUAUUACCAAAAUUAGUUUAGUAAUAGAUUAAGUCAAGGUUAUAUAUAUUCCUAACUACUAAAUGUACAAUAUUAGAUUAUUCAAGUAAACGAAUCAAUUUAAGUUCAUUGAUUAAAAACUUGGCAGGACACGGCCGGCUGAAACCUACCACCCCUACUUGAUCCACAAUCUUUGGUAAGAUAAGACUAAUUAAACCCAUGGGAAGAUACUAAUUAAUUUUGUUUUUCCUUUUAAAAAAUUAUUGAUCUAAGUAAGGUUCACAAUCUUUGGUACUAAGAAAAUUAAUUUAAGUUGGAAAUAAAAAUUAGAAUGAUAGUUAUAAUAAGUUAAAUAAGUUUCGAUAUAAACAAUCAAAACAUGUUCAAAUAACAAAAAAUAUAACUAUAAAUAUUUAACUUUUUAUAUCUAUUCUAUAUAACAAAUAAGUGCUUCAUCUUCAAUGAUACCAAGAAAAUAUGAUUGAAUAUAGGUUAAAACUUUAUUUAAUUCCGAUGUAGUUAAUUAUCUCAUCCAUGUACUAAAACUCUUUUCUUUUGUUAUCUCUAUUGCUCUCAUUGUAAAAUAAGUAGUAUUUAAACAAGAAUUACUAAAAUGAAAAACACACACCUAAAUCACUUAUAUUUUUUUUUCUGUUAAGUACUCCUAAACUAUUUAAACAAAUGCACAUAAAUAUCUUAAUGGUGAUAGUUUAUCAAUAAAGUAUCUGAAAUUAGCAUCCUCUUAUUAAAAACAAAUCUAAAUUUUAACAUUAAAAAAAAAAAAACACAAACUAACAAAUCAAACAAAACACAAUUACACCACAAUAGUCUAAAAAAUAAUAAUACUGGCAUGGGAUCCACAAAACACACUGUCAGAAAAUCUUCAGAGUUUCAGAGAACAAGAAGAAGAAGAAGAAUAAAACAGUAAAACCAGAAAACAUAUCUAUUCUUACAUUUUAUCUCUUCUUGUUCUUGUCUCUUCCAUUACCAGAAAACAUCGAACCAAAACCAAACAAAUUCCCAGAAGGAACAACGUUUAUAACCGGACUCACUCUAAUCCCACCACCUCCAUGACUACCAUAACUAUAACCUCCAUAGCUUUUCUUCAAUGGUGGUUUCGAAAAACCAUUAUUACUCAACGAAGACGAAGCAGAGGAAGAAGAAGACAACGAUGAAGAUUGUUGUAGCUUCACAUGUUCGUUGUGUUUCCUUGAGCUGCUCUGUUUUUGUUUACUCGACGUUGAACCGGUUGAAUUACUCCGGUUUAGUAACGGUAACGGACAUAAACUCCGACCAUAAGUACUUCCACAGUUUAAACUACUGCUUCUCUUAAACCCCCAAAACGACUUCGUAUUGGUUUUCUCCUCCGUCGUGAUUAUCACGUCGUCUUCUUGUUGUUCUUCGUUUUGUUUCCUCUGUUUUCUUGAAUCUGGUUUAGUCUUAACCGGUUUUGUAUCUUUCGAUUCGGGUUCUUUUUUUCCCGGUUCUGGUUUUUUCUUGAUUUCUGUUGGUAAGAUUUUGCCGUUAGAGAAGAGUUCAUCAGCGGACCAAGAACCUUGAUCGAAGCUUUCGCCGGAAUUUACGCCGCCGGGAAUGCAGAAAUCGAAAUCAAUGCUUGAAUUGAGGCUUGACGGUUUAGAGUUUGAUGAUCUUAAGGGACGUUUCUCGAUUGGUAUUGCGUCUGAUUGACAAAAGUCACGUGAAAAUGAGAUUCUUGGACUCAUAUUAGAAUUUUCCGAUAAAAGAUCCACCGCCAUUUUCUUGAAGAAGAAGAAUUUGAAAGGUUUUUUUUUAUAUAUAGUAAAUGAGAAUUUAUGAAAACGAAGAGAUUUUUUUUUUUAGUUUCUGGAGAAAAAGAGGAGAAGGAGAAUUUCGAAGAAGAGAGAAAGAGAGAGAUUUGGGGAGGAAGGUGAAUUUAAUUAUUUUUAUAGGUGAUUUUAAAGAAAAUGAAAUUAGGAAUUAAAAUGAGAAAAUAAUGAAAUUUAGAAUUUUUUUUUUUGUGAAAAAGAGAAAAAGGAGAAUAAAAAAUGGUAAUAAAAGAGGGGACAAAGAAGCGUGUCGUUUGCUACAUAUUCACAUGCAUGGGCCAAAAAAUGGAUAUAUGUUGGUUCUUCACUUUCGUACCUUUUUUUUUUUUCGAAUGGUCUAAUUUUUUAUGUAAAAUAUUGAAACUUUUGAUUGAGAUAUAUUGAAACUUCUGUAAAAAAAAAUUGUUGAAGUCAAAAGACAUGGGCAAAAACUGCAAUGUUUGAAAUGUUUAGAGAGUAAAAUGUUCAGAUUCGUGUUGACCAAUCUGAUGAAGCAGUGAAUAUAGACCAAUGGUGUAAAGUUCACCGACCCAAGACUUUAACAACACAAUUACUAAAUUUGUCUAGGACAUUGUGAAGUUAAGGAGAUAAGUUUGUGGUAAGAGGUAUAAAGGAGAGGAAAAAAAAAACUAAAUUGUUUGGGUAUUGUUCAUGCAAGAUUUUUUUAAAUCGUCAUGAUGCGAGUUUUUUUUUUUUUAAUAAUUGUUGUGGAUCGUUUAUUGGAGAAAUAAAAUAUAUUUGUAUUACAGAAAAUAUAACCAACCAAAGUCAUUUAGACCACUAGGACAAGUGUGAUGUUUUCCGAAUAUCUCUUCUACAUUUAAGUAAGAAAACGUUUAUUCGAUUUUUGAAAAGCAAUGCUUUCUAAGUUGUUUGUUUAGUUCGGUCCCUUUAGUUUUUUGGGGUCAGUUUUAUGUGUAAGAAUUAGUCUUUUAUGUCAAAUUCUGGAUUUGGAUUCUCCAUUCUCUUUAGGUGGAAUUUUGUUUUUUUAAAAAAGAAGUAUUUAGAGAGUUUACCGAGUUUGGAUAUCGGAUCACCAUAUUUCAGGGUAGAUGGAUCAGUCACUUAUCGAUCUUUCGCAUAGUUCGUAAGUUUGGUGACUAAUGACUCUAAAGCACGUUACAAAACAUGUGUUCGAUAAGUUAGGGUAAUAUAGCAUCGCUACUGCUUUAUACGAGAAUGUUGCAUCCCAUUGAACAUUUACUUCACGUUUAAUAAGGUCGAGCACUAGCCAUUCUUCGAAUUUGAUGUAUUCAGGAUGAUAUUUACAUAGGAAAUCAGUUACCAGAAAGUCUUUUUGCAUGUUUGACACCCAAUUAUCACAACCUGAAAUGUUGGUGCUUUUGAUUGAAAUUUACCCCAACAAUAUUGUUACUGCUAAAACUAUUAGUUGAAGUUAGCCAAAAACAUUCAACAACCUCAAUUAAUUCGAUAUUUAAACAUUUUGAUCCAACCAUUUAUUUGCAAUGACUAUACCGACCUUACUGAACCGUACCAACUACAUUUAUCUACGAUGCUUUUUAUGAGUAUUGAAUUAGGAGCUAAACGAUACAAAUGUUGCUGUCUUAUUAUUCAGUUUUUAAAUUAUUAACCUAGUUUGUUCUUGUCUUUACUAAUUUAGAAUAUCCGUUUAUUUUUAAGAUUCUCAGUUUAGGUUUAAUUUAAUGGUUAGGUGAGAAAUUAAUUAUAAGUACAAAAAUCAUAAUAAAAUCAAUAAGGGUGGCAUUGUUGAUGAUAUUUACCUCCAAACUAAUUUAUAAAAGUCAGACACAAUUGUCAAAUUUAUAUAUCAAGAACAUAGUUUUCUUUAUAAGUAGACCAUAAUACAAUUUCGUUGUUAUCCACUUUUGUAAAAUAUGAAAUGUAUAUAUCAAAGAUUUGUUUUUUUUUUAAUUGUCGCUAAUUGUGCGUUUUUGUUCCUUUCAAAUUUGGAUUAUAUAUUUAUUUUCUAUAUAUAUAUAUAUAUAUAUAUAUCUUAUGUAUAUAAAAAAUUUAUUUUUGAUAGAGAAAUGAACUUCUUUGUAUUCUAAUAGAUGGCUCUUUUGUGAAAGAAAAGUCUAUAAUUCUUUAUUUAUACUCUUUCUUUAUUUAAUAUGAUGAGUCAUGCAAGUUUGCUUUUCAUAAAAUUGAAAUCGAUUUUUUCUUAAAUUUGAAGUAAAGAAAUUGUUAUAAGAUAGAAAUAAAGAAAGGGGAAAAGGAGAUUUCACAUUAUCUAGAAAAUAAAAGGGAAUUUUAAAAAUUAAUUAAAAAAUUUGGGAAUUAUAUGAAAAAAAUAGAAGACAAAGUAAGCAUGGCCAUGGGUCCGAUGGCUACGUAUUUACCGAAAACGAAGAAUCCCACUAAGGGAAGUGAAGGGUUAAGAGAUGGUCCACGUUUCCUACUAAAACAUUUUCCUAUCCAUUUGGAUCACCCACGAGCCCACCUUGAAACCAACCCGACCCGAUUCGACCCAACCAAGAAUUGCCUACUUUGGCUGCUCUCGAUAAUACUAACAGGAACUUGUCCAAUUCCGUUAGGGUUUGGUUAUGAUGACGGACCCAAGAAAUAUCGGAUUUUUCUGAUCCUAGUAAACAAUAAAGAUGGUCCAGUCCGACAAAUAGCAUUGGUGAUGUUUUUUGCUGACAAUUACCGAACACUAAUAAUAAAACUGCUUUUGUUUUCUACAUAAAUUUUAUAUAUAUAAGAAGAAGAAAGCUCUCCAUGUUAUGAUACUUGAGCAUCCAAAAUGAAGAUAGACAUAAACAAUCAAAAUUUGUCUAAUGAAAACUUAUUAUUAUUUUUUUUUUCAUCUGAAAACUUAUUAUUUUUCUCCAAAAUUUGAAGUCUAUUCAUCUUCCUUUUUUUUCUUCUAAAGAAACGUUACAUGUGUUUUUUUACAGAAAUAUCUAGCUAAUAGAUUACAUAGUACUAUUUAAUAUUUAUAUACCAUUUAAUAAUCUUAUAAAAAAUCUUUGAAUAAAGUAGUUAAAUAAUUUGGUAAAGUAUAUAUUUACAUGAUCACAUCUAUAAAUACACAAAUCACGUAUAAGUAUACUCCCUCUAUUUCACAAAGAGUGUCAUUCUACCAUUUUUCACACAAAUUAAGAAAACUAAACAAAUGUAAUUUUUACCCCAUAUUAAUACACUAGAUAAUACCUUUUAUAUAAUUAAUAAGCUGAAAUAGUAGGGAUAAAAAGAGAAUUAAUCUUAAAAACUUCACUGAAAACGUAAAACGACACUCUUUGUGAAACAAAUUAAAACCUUAAAACGACACUCUUUGUGAAACGGAGGGAGUAUUUGGAAUUUCAAAUUUUGUCACAACAUCAUUAACUAAAUGUUUGGCACGAAAAUUUGUACCGAACCGCAAUAUACCACAUAUGUAAACAAUGUUUCCCAAAAUUGGUUCUUUAAUUUUGAGCUAAUCAAUUAAAGUUGUUGACAAAAAAAAUUAUAACUAAAUGAACUACAUAAGCCAUUAAUAAUAAUUAUGAACUACAGAAGAUAUAUAAUUAGGGAAAAAUAAUGAUCAAAUGAACUGAAUUAUAUAGAAUGCUCAUGAAUUGGUAUUUUUAGAAUUGAAACACAAUGAAAGUUAUAUUCUUUUUCGAAAUAAUUAUGUUUUUAAUUAUACAACAGAAGAGAAUAUAAGGCGGAUUAGGCUUCGGUGACUUAUUAUCAUUCAGAAUUUUUUUUCUUUUUUGUUAAAAUCUUUUAUCAUUUUGAGUAAGCUCUCUUAGCUAAUCAAGUUUGGAAGCUACAUCAUAGACCAACUAGUUUCGUAUACAGAGAUCUACACGGACACUACUUCUCACGAGGGACGUUGUUAACGGCUAAAGAAGGAUCAUAAGUCACAACCAUCUUAUGGUUGGACCUCCCUUCUAGGAGGUCGUGGUGUGCUACUUACUGUGGCUCAAUGUUAUAUAGGCAAUGGUAGAAGCAUCAGAUUGGGUCAGGAUACAUGGCUCCCGACAAUGCUAUAGACUACCUCCACUUAAUGUUGAUCCGAACUUACCACUUUCAAGUUCUACUCCACACAAGUACGGAACUCUGGAAAGAGGAUAUGCAUGCAAAUCUAUGUCUCAAAUGAACAUAAUGAGGAAUCUUUUUCUCUCAUACUAUAUGUGAAUUUGGAGAGUUUCAGAAUAUAUUUAAAUCCAUAAUCAGAUUAUAAUUUACACUCACCGAAUCCAUGAUAAGAUGUCGGAGAAACAAUCGAUACUUGGCAAAUAGAUUAUUAUUCACAUAAAAGAGAGACAAAAAAAUAUUGAAAAGAAUUUCAGAAUCCAUGUAAUUUUACAUCAUAUUUUCUGGACAAAUGUGUUAAGUUAUUGCUUUUUCUAUGUGAGAGUCACUAAGAAAGUGUUUACCUCUAGUCUAAGAUUCUGAGUUACACAUGGAAUUGUAUGAAAUUGGACAUCAAGAGAAUGAGUUACUAAAGUGAAUUCCUCCAAGUCAAUUGAAUAAACAGCCAAUUCAAGAGAUUAUAUACAUACAAUGAUGGUGAUAAAAUCUUUAUUGAAAAGAAGCUCAAUUAUAUAUCUAUACAUGAAGUUCUUAUGAAUUUGUUUGCAUAAUGUACUUCUAUAGGAGAAUUUUUAUACAAUACUGUCUUUAACCACCUCCAUUAUCAGAUCACAAGUUCCACUCUAAGAAUCCAUUGAAUUAUAUACCUGAGAAAUGUGAUAUCAAGAGAAAAUUGCUUAAACUAAGUUUCUGGUCAAUGUAUGUAGAUAAUUCUGUUCUGUAGGAGAGUUUUUGUAUCAAAAUAUGUGUUUAACAGAUUUUCAAAUGAUUCAUACUUUUUUUAUAUCCAAUAUUGAUGAAGAGUUACUCUGAUAAUCUUAAAAGUAGGUUAUGUAAUGUGGGAACAUGUUAAGAAAGAAAUAUUGAUCUCUUUAUUCCUUAACCAGCGCAUAGUACAAUAUUCAUGGAGAGAAGACUAGAACACAAUUUCUAGCUUCAGCUCUCAUCAAUCUCACAUGCGAGAUUUUGUACAAUCAAUUGCAUAAUAUAUCCUCUCUAAAAAAUGAGAGAUCCUAUCUAUACUACAACUGUAAAAAAUUUUGUUCAAAGUAAUUCGUAAUUAGUCAAUUUUACAUCCAUCAAUUUAAAUAUAUCUCUUAACGUAUAAGACAUACAUAAUAAAGAAUAUCAAUGCUAAACAAGCUCGCUGGAAAAGAUAAGAACACUACUAUAUAAAGUAUAACCCAAAGAUGAUAUAUGGAUUUAGCUAGACGUGAUUCUCCUCAAAGCUAGGGUAGAAUUUCUCGGAAGCCAUGUUUAAUGGAACAAUCCUAUUUCUUAUGAGAUAUGUUUUUCAAGUUUCCGUGCACAUUAUUUGGAGAGAACGAAACAAGAAACGACAUGGCAAACAACCCACCUUACCGACAAUACUUAACCAAGUCAUCGACCACAUAGCUCGAAAACAAAUAUCAUCUCUUCUCGACUUGAGCUCUAACAAAUUCGAGGACGGACUUCGUAUAAUUUGGUUUGGCUCUAGAAAUUCUCAGGGAAUCUUUCUAAAAAAGGUUACAUUCAAUGUAAAAAUGGUUUUUUUUUAGUGAAUAAAAUUUACAUUCAUAUAAAAAAAAGAAUUUUUUAUGUGCUUAUUUUAUAAAAUUCUUCUCAGUAUCACAAGACUUCAAAAAAACAUUGUCAAUUCAUACAAAAAUUUCUUUGAAAAUUUUGAUAGGAUCAAUUUCCUACCACUUUUCUACAAGGUUGUCACAGAAUAAUUAUUUCGUAGAAAAAUGGAAAGAAAGUUUUAGAGAAAAAAGUCAUAGAAAAUUUUCUACGAAACUCAUACAAAAUAUAUAGCCGUAGGAAAUUUCGUAAAAAAUUGGAAGAAAAGUCAUGGGAAAGGCAGUGGUAGAAAAUUUGAAGGAGCAACUUCUUUCCAAAUUCAUACGAAACGUUUCUCGUAAGAUUUCGAAUAAAUCUAGUAGGAAAUUCGAAGAAAAAUCAUGGGAAAAAGCCGUGGUAGGAAAUUCGAAGGAGCACCUCCUUCCAAAUUCCUAGGAAAAGUUUUUCGGAGGAUUUCGAAGAAAUCUCAUAUGGAAUUGGAAAUGGUCAUGGGAAAAGACAUGGUAGGAAAUUCGUAGAAGAAAGUUCAUUCCAAUUUCCUAUGAACUGCCUCUCAUAGUAUUUUUGAAGGAAUGUGGUAGGAACAUUAUACCAACAAAUUUUGUCGUAGGAAAUUUCCUACGACAAAAUUUGUUGGACAUUUAUAAACAUGUGAAAAAAUGAUUGUCUGCCAAAUAGGUGGAUAUGGGUAGGUUGGUGUAAUAGUAUAUAUUUUCAAAGGAAAUAGGUAGGUAAUCUAUAGAAAAUUGAAACUCUUUUUCUUAAUAUAAACUCCAUUCACAUUCGUUAAAAUUACAACAAAAACAAAAAUAUCAUCUACAACAAAACAAUUUUCAUUCCAAAAAAACUAAAAAACAUUUCAUACAACAAAAAACACAGAAUUAAUUUCUAUAAAAAAAAAUACCAAAAAUAUUCUAUAUGCUCGAAUAAAAAAAAGCAUCUUUUUCGGACAUGGAUAGACUAGGAAAGAUUUGCAUCUAACGUGUUAUUUACGACCAAGUAUACGGCAUGCCUCACCGAAUUCAUUACCCUCACAAUGAUCAGGAGUCUUGCUUAAAAAGUGGUAGGAUGUUUUUUCCUUAUCUAAUAUAUGAUAAUAAUGCAUUUGUCAAUAAAACUUUAGUGUGGUCACAUUUAUAUAGAGACGGAAUUAUGCAGAGAUACAAAAUCUGGUGUUAUCACUGGGAAAGUGAUACAUACCAUGUGGGUACUACUAGCGAAAAUGUCCCAGAUAGGGUAGAAGAAUCUACAUUCGCAGAAGAGGCGGUAGGUACGGUUCAAAUGGUACACAAUUUCCUAAAUGCAUCGUGAACCAUUUGAACCGUACCUACCUCUUCUUCUGCGAAUGUAAAUUCUUCUACUCUAUCUGGGAUAUUUCCACUCGUACUACCCACGUUGUAUGUAUCACUUUCCCCGUGAUAACACCAGAUUUGUAACUCGACAUAAUUUUGUCUCUCUAUUUGACCACACUACAACCUUAUCGCUAAAUGCAUCACUAUCACAUAUUAGACAAGGACAAAACAUCUUCCCAUUUUUUAAGCAAGACUCCUGAUUCAUUGUGAGGGUCAUGGAUUCAGUGAGGCUUGAUGCAUACUCUGUCUUCAGCAACACGUUAGAUGCAAAUCUCUCAUUUUCUAUCCAUGUCCGAAAACGAUGCAUUUUUUAUUUAACAAUAUAGAAUAUUUUUAAUAUUUUUGAUAUGAAUUAUUUUUGUGUUUUUGUUGUAUAAUUUUUUUUGUUUCUUUUUGGAAUGAAAUUUUUUUGGGUUUUUCUUUCUGUAGAUGAUGUUUUUUUUUUGUUAGAAUUUUAUCAAAUGUGAAUGGAGUAUAUAUAUCAAAUUUUAUACAGUUUGCCUACCUAUUUUCUAUGAAUAUAUAUAUAUAUAUAUACUAUUACACCAACCUACCAAUAUCCACCUACGUGCGCGACAAUCGUUUUUUCACAUGUUUAUAAAUUCUACGACAUAUUUGUAGAUAAAGUUCCUACCGUAUUCCUUCAAAAAUGCUACGAGAAACUAUUCGUAGGAAAUUGGAAGGAACUAUCUCCUACGAAUUCCCUACCAUGGCUUUUCCCAUGACUUUCCUUCCAAUUUCCUAUGAGAUUUCUACGAAUUUCCUACGAAAUUUCUUCAAAUUUCCUACCACGUUUUUUUCCUAUGGCUUUCAUUCUAAUUUCCUACUAGAUUUCUUCAAAAUCCUACAAGAAACUUUUCGUAGAAAUUUGGAAGGAAGUUUUUCAUUCGAAUUACCUACCACUGCUUUUCUCAUAACUCUCCUUCCAAUUUCCUACGAGAUGCUCUACGGCUAUAUAUUUUGUAAGAUUUUCGUAGGAAUUUUCCUAUGACUUUUUUGACGACUUAUUUCGUAGAAAAUUUACUUCCAUUUUCCUACAAAAUAAUUAUUCCGUGACAACCUGGUAGAAUUGUAGAAAUUGAUAUAUCCUACCAAAGAUUUCCUACGAAUUUGACAAUGUUUUUUUUUGUAGUAACGUAUCUUGUUUAAUUGUGUAGUGUUCUAGAUAUUCAAAUGGGUUUCUCACUGAAAAAACCAACUAUGAUGACCCGAAAGAUGAUUAUCGGGGCUGUUCUAGACGUUGCAACAUACGAGAGUGUGGUUAAGGACGAUGGGGUUAAUCCCAUGACAGUGACAAUGCUACCAUUCGGCGUUGUCUUACAUCCCGCAAAUGAGAAACGCUUCACUUUGUCGGUUGGUUAUCAAUUCGAGACAGACAAGGUUAACGCCGAUGAAGCGAAGAAAAUGAUUUCUCAAACUUUGAGAAACCUUACCAAUGCUCUCCCUCGGGCUGAAAAGUGCCAAUAGAUGUUUAUCCUCGCUCCACGGGAUAGUUGACUCUUUGCUUUGGGCAAUGCAGUGCCUAAUAUCACUAAGUGAAUUGAGGGUCACCUUUGCAUUUGAUUGCUUUGAUAUUAUCUCGAUGAUUGACAACUAUGCAGAGUGGCCAAGCUUUGCAGUGGAGAUGGCCAUUUUUCAAUUUUUUUCUUAUCUCUGUUAGAUUUAUUCCUCGUUGUAACAAUGUUCGGACUGAUUGUUUAGCCAAGAAGAUGCACGUUUGUGGUACUCUCUUUUUCCACGUACGCUCAUCGGUUUCUAAAUGAUUCUCUCUAAAGAAGAAUCUCUUUUCAAUAACUUAAUAAAAUUGGUGUGUGGUAAAAAUAAAAAUUUACGCUGUGUUUCUGUUAAAAAAUAGGUGAUCCAAAGUUGUCUCAAAAAACAUUCUCAUACAUCAGUUCGUUCAAACAACACAAAAUCAUCAUUUAUAAUUAGUUGGAGUGGAUAUAAACAGCUAAAUGCCUCAAUCUAAACCGGAUUCUCUAAAUCUCAACGGGCUCAAGGCAUCUCCUUUUAGAAAGCUUAUUGAUCUUACCAGCCAAUUAUAGAUUCUUUGAUAUAUGCUUUCAUCUUCUCGAAUAUGUUUAUUACCAAAAAAAAAAUUGUAUAAAAUCAAAUAAUAUUAAAAAUUUGUAAAACUUAUAUGAACUUCAACGAGGUUAAGAAGAUGUUUCAAGGUUUACCAAAAAUUAUAUAAAAUCAAAUAGUAUUACAAAUUAAUCAAAAUUAUCACCAAAUUAGUUGAUAUUUACAAAAAUAUCUCUAUAGUUUGGGUCUUUUUGGCCCAAACAGUUUACCUGAUAGUCCAGUAACAGGUGAUCUGGCUAUCCCGUGACAUUAGUCGGAAAGCAUUCCAAAUUCGGAACAGACAGUGUGUGGUGGCCCUUCAGAGAGUAGUCUACUCUGAAGCACUUCGGUGUUUUUCUACUGUAGUUGACCGGAUCAGCCGAUAUGGUUUAUAAAUAAAAAAAAAUGCUAUAAACUUUUUAAAAGUUAUUGAAUUUGAAUUUAUUUUUUUUAAAUCUAUUUGUCGUUUAAUCAUGAAAAAAAAAAGAAUAGGAAAAUUAAACGCGUAAGAUCUAGUCAAUGUGGUCAUGGGAUGGGUCACCUAAUCAAAUCUUUUUCUCCCUAAAAAAAGAAGUAAAAAAAUUUCUCUCAAUUUCCUCGAAGAAGAAGAAGAACAUUAACAAACUUAAAAAAAAAAUGUCAAAUUGUCAAAAACUAAUAAACCAAUCAAAUUCCUCCAUUUUUUCCCUCUUUUCUUUUUCUUCUUCCUCCCAAUCAACUCUUCAGAUUCCAGGAAAGAGAGAAAGAAAGAUUCAAUCUUUAUUAGCCGGAGAUGAUGAAUUCGCCGAACUGGGAACUCCGUGGUUGUUGUAACCGGAAUCAAAAUACUUUCCUUAUCACCAUCGGAAUCUUCACCGUCGUUAUCCUUCUGGUAAGUUUUUUCUAAUGUCCGACUAUAAAGUUUGAAACUUUAUUUGUUAUCUUCGAUUUUGAAUGGGUUUUUGUAAAAUUUAGUCAAAAGGGUUUCCGAUUCACUUAUAAUUUCAACGAAAUUUUGCGAAUUUUGCGAUUGAAGUAUCAAAGUUUUUGUUUUUAUGAUCUGGGUUUUUGGUUGUGACAGCUAUGGAGGACAUUUCUAUUGACUCCAUUUAAACUCAUUACGGUGUUUUUGCAUGAAGCAAGUCAUGCCGUUGCUUGCAAGCUUACAUGUGGAGAUGUAAGGAGCUUUCUCACUUCAACUAUUAGUCUUCAAUGAACUUAAAAGGGUAUAAAGUUGGUUUUAGGUCACUUGAACCCUUGAUUUAGUUUGCAAACAUGAAUUGUCUCCUUCCAUUUUGUUUGAAAGAGCAGAGAAGAUAUUCUGGUUUCCUUAGAUAGAAAGGUUUUUACUUCAGCAAUAUGUCACUGCAUUCUCUCUGGACAUGAUUGUUAGUAGAGCCAUAGAUAAGAGGUUGCGGUAUCCGUAUUUGUCUUGCUAUCUGUUAUAUUCCUUACUUUAUUAGAUUUGUAUACGAUUCUCGCUUGCUUCCAUUGUUAAUGUGUAAACUACUAGCUUCUGUCAUUAUUUAUGAACACACACUGAGUUUACUUGAACAAGUGCAGCUGCUCAAGCUUUAGCUGUAGGUCUACUAUAACUUGCCUAGGACUGAAUGUAACACAUUAUAGCUCUUAAGAAAUGGUUAGAAAGCUUUUAGUGAGGGCUGGUUUAUAAAGAUGUCCCCGGAGAUUGUUAGGGUGUAGAUUCAAUGGCGAUUUUGGUUCUGUGAGAAUAGGAGUGUACAGCUUCAGCUCUUAGUCUUACUAUACUUCUGAUUGUGUUUCUUCUAGAUUGAUUGAUGCAUAUGACAAUAUGCAAGUAUUGCAGAGACAAUGUGAGAUCCACAAUUUUUUCAUUGCAAGUACUGUGUGUAUGAAACUUAUCUACCAUCUUCUCUCUAUGAAUCUUUAAGUUUUAUACCCUCAUAACAUUUAUCUUGAAUAGGCUGUGUAUAGUUUGCACAUAAACCACCAAAUGUGUGCACCAUCUCUCUGUGAUUCUGCAACUAACAGUCACAUAUAAUGUGGAUAAUGUGUUCCUACUAACAAAAUGUCACUCAUUUUGGUUAAUUAACUUCUUAUUGAAUCAAAAGGUAGAGGGGAUGGAGGUGAAUGCAAAUGAAGGGGGUUCGACAACAACACGUGGUGGCAUUUAUUGGCUGAUCUUACCUGCUGGCUGUAAUGCACAAUCUAUCUAUAUAUCUUACUUAUACAAAUCCAUUAUUUUUCGAAUUUAGUCUUAGCCUUUUUGUUGUUGAAUUGGUUAUAGAUCUUGGCUCAUCAUUUUGGGGAAUGGCAUUGAUUCUUGCAUCUACCAAUCUGCUGACAGCAAGAAUAGCUGCUGCUGGUCUGGGUCUUGCUUUAUUCAUCGUCCUAUUCAUUGCCAAAAAUGUAAGAAGAAGUCAUUAUUUCUCUUAUCUAACAAAGUUUUAUUUCAUUAACAUCAAAUACUGAGAUCUUCAAUUUUGACAGUGGACUCUUCGAGGUCUUUGUAUAGGUGUGUUGUCUCACGAAUCCUCUUGUUACAUUUUCUUAGUAAGCACCCACCCAAAAGCCUUACAUAGUUAUAUAAAUAUCAGGUUUCAUAGUUUUCCUCGCUAUCAUCUGGGUUCUACAAGAGUUAACUACAGUCAAAAUUCUCCGUUAUGUCAUUCUGUUCAUUGGUAAGAUACCAUUAAACUCUUCUCCUUCUUGUUAACAUCAUUCAGCCUCAUUUAGCCUAUAUAAAAUUGGGAUUCACAAUGUUACAGGUGUGAUGAAUAGCUUAUUCUCAGUUUACGGUAUGUAAUUCCUUCGUCCCAUUUACUUCACUUAAAAGUUAUGACUUAUGACCAAUAAUAAUGUGGCUGCGAUGUAUGGAUAUUAGAUAUCUAUGAUGAUUUGAUAUCUCGGAGGGUCCAUUCGAGCGACGCUGAGAAGUUUGCAGAGAUCUGUCCUUGCUGUACCGGUUGUGGCUGGGGUGUCAUCUGGUUAGAUUUAAAUACAACUCUCAGUUAUCAGAUUCUGAAAGUGAAAAUGAAAUCCUUAUUCUAACACUUUGUUUCCAUUUCAGGGGAAUGAUUUCAUUUGCGUUUCUUUGCGCGUCGCUCUAUCUCGGCCUAGUGAUCCUAUCAUAAAAGGGUACUCUUGUAUGAAUUUGUUGGUGUCUCUCAGGUUCAAAUUCUUCCCAGUGAAAUGCAGAGACAAUAGUUUGAUAAAAGCUUGAUUCUUUAAAUCCCUUGGUGUGCUUGGGAUUUACAUUGUUGAUUGAAUGUAUUUUUUUUUUUUAGAUUUUGGAGUGUGUUGAAUAGAAUUCAUUGACAAUUUGAUUUGGUCUGUUUAUUGCAUUAAAAGUUCGUUGACUUCUUUAACCCAAAAAAGUCCGUUGACUUCUUCAACAACAAAAAGAAAAAGAAGUCGGUUGACUUUCUAUAAGCUUCUAUUUUUGAACCUUGAAAUUGUUAAAAGCAUUAUUUUAAUUAUUUAUUUAGUUCCUAUUAUUUCUUGUAAGUGAAAUAGAAUGUUUUGAAGAUAAUUGUCGUAACGGAAAUUCCUAAGUUAUAAAGAGAAUACAACGAAAAAGUCUUUCAACUUUGAUCAAGUCCAUUUUAAUUCAUCCAUCUACACGAAACGAAUUUGUUAAAACCAAAACGUUGAGGACUUGAGGUGAUUUUUUCACUUAAUACACCAAAAUUGAGAAAAUUGUUUUUUACUUUUUACCUAUGUUGCAUGGAAACGAAAACGGAAACGUGGAAGCGAAACGUUUCGGAAACGGGAAACGAUUUUUUUCUAAAAUUAGGGAUUGGAAACGUUUUGGAAACGUGUACACAUAUAUAAUAUAUGUAUAUAUAUAAUAUUAGCAUAAAACUAUAAAAAUGGUUUAAUUAAACAAUAAAGUCUAAAACAUCAAAUAUUAAAUAGGUUAACUAAAAUUCUAAAAGAAAAAAGAUUAAAAGGUUCAAGUUCAAAUAUUUAAUUUAGACAAACAUUUUCAUUUUCAUUUUCAUUAGUUUCAUCGUAGAAUCAUAUAAAGAUGCCUCUAAAUCUAGUUUGUCGAUAAAAAGAUCUUAAAACUCAGAGUCUUCCAAAAUUAGUUAUAUGUAUUAUAAAUUUUAAUCUUUUCAACUUUUAUUUAUUAAGUUUCCAAAGUCAAUAAAAAAAUAUUUGUCGCGUUUCCAUUUUAGAAACGUGAGUUUCCAAACAUAGAUUUUUAGGAAACACGUUUACAUGACGUUUUUCGUGUUUCCGAAUAGUUUCCGUUUCCGAAACGUUUCGGAAACGGGAAACGGAUCUCGAAGAGAAUUUCCAUGCAACAUAGCUUUUUACUAAAAAUAGUUAGACAAAAUUUGAAGGCUUAUUACGGAAUAUCAUUUUCCCACGUUUCAAUGAACAACCUAACAACUGUAAAUGGUGCUUAGAAGGUUUUUUGGUAGUUCAUAUCAAGUUUGUCAUGUCCUUUAAUUUUUUGUUUUUUCUGGUUAAAAUGUUUAAUACCAUGUACAACACAAUAUGGCUUUAGUAGGAGGGGUCGAAUAUCGAAAUAUCAUUCAAUUUUCUUUGGUGGUUUUUUCAAGAAUUAUGCAAAUAAAGUUGUAGGAUAUCUAACUAGUCCAGGUUUGAUCCACGUUGGAAACAAAAAACACAUCUGUGUGGAAAGUCUGGGUUUGGGCCAAAAGUUUACUUGGUAGUCCAGUAACACGCGAUUUGGCUACCUCCUGAUAUUAGUCGGAAAACAUUUCAAACUCAGGACAGGCAGUGUGGUAGCCUUUUGGGGAGAAGUCCACUCUGAAGCACUUCGGUGUGUUUCUACCGGGACUGACCGAAUCAACCGAUAGAGUUUAUCAAAAAAAAUCUAACUAUUUUCUCGAUGGAGAUAUAACUAAUUUGACCGAAUACUAUAGAAUAUGUUCUUCUCCAUAAUAUGUUGGAGUUGGAGAUAUGCCAUAAAAGAUGUUGACACAUUAGGAACAAGAACCGGGUUCAAUAAGUUGAGGAAUACCGAAUACCAAACCGAACACCAACUUGGAGUCGUGGAGAAGAAGAUGACGUAAAGGUUAGAUGUGGAGCAUAACGAACUCCAUGUCACCGCCUAAUUACUUUUUCAACCAUUGACGAAGUCUUCUAACAGUAACCCUUCAUUCUUCAUAUGAUCCCUACUCCACCGUCACAUGAGAUUAGAAUUCUAUAAUUUAGGUUUAUGGCUAUUUUAUGACAUAGACGAAUUCAAUAUCUAAAAAAACACAAUUUAACCUAGCUAUUACAUAUGAUGUCGUCAUGCAUGAUAAUUGCCAACUAGUGGACGGAAGUUUGUAAAAGCUUGCAUCCACGAUUUAAAAUAUUGUUUGCAUGUUGUAUAAUUGAACACGUGAUAUAAAAAUUCUAAAUCUUUCGAUAUCAUUGGGGAAAUAUACUUUUUUGGAAGUUUCCCAUCGUGGAAAGCUCUUACCCUCUGCUAGGGUAAAAUUUCUUACUACUUAUAUUUCUUUAUGCGGAAGCCGGAAGCUAUCUUAUAAAAAAUCGGUCCAUUGACCAUUAAAUGGCCCAUUUCUGGAGUAUAUGCCCGUUCGUUCAUGUAUGAUGGAAAAAUUGGAAUCACACAUUUGCUCGAUAAUAGGAGCGAUUAUGGUGGUUUAGGCCAAACACAUGGACCAAACAUCAGAUUGCGUUUUUUUUCCACUAAGCCAAAACAAAAAAAACAAAAAAUAGUUUUGCUGUGUAAACACAACACACGAACAAAGGUUUUGGCAACCAUUAUCGGUCAUGUCGUAGUGAAAACCAUCCAUAUUGAAAAAUUCAUUCGAUAAAAUCUAUAUUUUGUACAUAUUUUUAUAGUUUUAGAUUUAUAUUCAAGAAUUGUUUUAUAUCCUUUUUUAUGUAUUAUUAUUAUGAAGCAUAUUAUCUUUUAUCACAUAACAAAAUAAUUUUAAAAAAAAAAUCCAUUUUAAAAAAAUUCCCAAAGCAUGCUUUCAUGUGUAAUAAUAAAUAUUAAAAAUGAAGAAUAAAUUAAGAUUUUGGUUUUGAAUUCAAUAAUUUCGUUUGUAACUAUACUAUUUUUAGUUUUGAUAUCCGGAUUUCGCAAAAAUAACACUUUCUAUCAAACUACAUUAAUAUGAUAUAUUAUAUAUUUUAUUGGGGUUUAUAGAUAAAGUUUAAAAUUUUAAAUCUGCAUAUGGAGCGGUUAUAUUUGCGUAUAUUAUAUUUUCUGUAAUCGAAGAAAAAUGAGGCUUCAUAUACAGUUGGAUUGCUAUUAAUGUUAUUUCUUUAUCAAACCAAGCAAGUGAUAACAAAAAUAAAAAAAGGUAUUAAUGUUGAAUUGUAAAUAAAGGAAGAAAUUUAAAUUAUGUCAUUUCAGAAGAGGAAGUAUGUCACAUGUAAAUAGAUCAUUGAUACUUUUCAAGAGAACUUCCACAAGAAAGCCAUUGACUUCUACCUUUCUAAAUUUCCAGCUUGACCCAUUUAUUUCUCAUGAAGUUAUAAGAACUUUACGUACUAGAUAUUUAAUAUGUUUACAAUAUUCAGGAAUUUAAAAAUAUGGUAGUAUCAACUAAUGUUGAAAUCAUUUGAUUUGACUUUUUAUUACCAAAAUUCAUGUAAUUUCUUUUAGUUCUUACCAAAAUAUUUAUGUGGUAUGCUAAUAUUCGUUUUUUAUUCUGAGAAAAUUUAACCCCAACCAAAAUAUUGAGUGGCAAGCAAUGUUCAACUAAUAUAUGAUAAGGAGAACAAAAGUUAUGGCAAGUUUGGAAAAAAAAAUCAAUUUAUUAGCAUAUUUUUGACUCAUGCGCAUCUCAAACUUUUUUCUUGAUCCUUCUUCCUUAUCUUAUCUUUUCUCAAAUUCUAUAUUUCCAAAAUAAAACACGCAAUUUCUAUUAUAAUUAUACAAUAAAAAACUCAAAUUAUCUUCCAAAAAUGUCUUUACCACUAUUUUUCAGAUUUCUCCUCCACGUCUACUGAUUGUCAUAGAUAUGUUUUAAAGAUGAGGCAUUAAUUCUCUUCUUGUUCACACGUAAGUAUAUACUUUUCAUAAUAAAAAAUUGUUUUUUUGUUAAUUCAUACUUUUCAUAAUUUAAUUCAAGGAAUUCUCGUGAACCGAUUUCUAAAAACAUUUACAAAAUUAGUUAAUUAAUGCAUAUCUUUAUUUCUACAUAAAGAAACACAUACAAUAUUUACUAUAUUGCUUCUAUAUUAAUAUUCUUCUUUCCAUAUAUAAAUGAUUGAAUUUUAACCCUCUUACAAGGAAUAUAUUUCAUUUACAUUAUAUAUAGAUUACAAGAAAAGCCCAUCAAUCUAUUAUUCUCUGAUUCAGCGAAGAAAAUAAAUAAAUAAACGGCCAAAAAAUGGGAGCAGACGCAAUCCAAACGAACGGUCACGAUCAAACCAAGUUAACCGGCGGUGAAGAGAUCCAACGGCUGAGAUGUUUCGUGAAGAACUACGAAUGGGGCAAACUCGGACCAGACUCAUUGGUGGCGAGACUCCAAGAGGCUAAUACAGGACAAAGAGUCGACCCGGAGAUUCCUCACGCCGAGUUUUGGAUGGGGACUCAUGAGUCUGGACCGAGUCAUGUUGAAUUCGGGUCGUUGGGUCAUGGUGGGUCUGAUAAAUGUAUGGUUACAUUGAAGUCGUGGGUUUUGGAUAAUCCGGAUUUACUCGGGUCUAAAGUCGUGGACAAGUGGGGUUGUGAUCUUCCUUUCCUCUUCAAGGUAAUGGUUAAUUUCUCUGUUUUUUUUGCUCUGUUUUGAAGAUGUUGCAUUUGACUCUGUUUUUCUUAUUAAUAAAUUGGAUUUUUGUGUGUUUUUAAAAGUUAAAAUAUACAGGUUUGGGUAUUAUCUUAUUAUAUAAACACGUAUAUAUCUACCAAUCAAAAUAUACAUUUUCAGAGUCUGUUUUAUGGUCAAUUUCUCUGUUUUCUUUCCUCUGUUUUGAAGAUGUUACAUUUGACUCUGUUUUUUUUUGUUAAAAAUUUGUUUUUUUUUAAAGUUAAAGCAUAGUUUUGAAUCUAAUGAUAAUUUUUUUGGUAUUGAAUUGUGAAAAUCAUUGUCACAUCUAAAAAAUUUCUGUUUUUUUUUUUUUUUUUUUUGUUCUGUUUUGAAGAUGUUCACAUUUGACUCUGUUUUUCAAAUAAAAGAUUUGGGGGUUUUUUGCGUGUUUUUAAGAGUUUAAAGCAUAUAGAUUUGAAUUUAAAGAGAAGUGUUUUGGUGUUGAAAUGUGAAAAUUUUAGGUGUUGUCAGUGACGAAAGCAUUGUCGAUUCAAGCACAUCCAAAUAAAGCUUUAGCAGAGAAAUUGCAUAGAGAAGAUCCUCUUCUUUACAGAGACAAUAACCACAAGCCUGAGAUUGCUCUUGCUGUUACUCCUUUUCAAGCCCUUUGUGGUUUCGUACCUCUUAAGGUACACAAUUUCAGAUCUUUCUCUCUGUCUAUCAUUCUUUGCAAAAAUUUAGGUCAGUUUUUGGUUCAGAUCAACCGAAAUUACACAAGGGUUUAAGUUCUUUAUAGAUCCGGUUUGAUCGAAAGAAACCGGUUUGAUCGAAAGAAACCGGUUUGAUUGUUUUGUUUUAUUGUUCAAUCGUGAUCAACCGAUUGGAUCUAAAACCAAAAUCGCAUAGAAGUAUCAAAUUAGGUUUAAUAUUGAUUAUUGUAGUACAAAAACCGAAAAAUCUUGAUAGCUAAACAUCUUGGUUGUUACUUGUGCUACAAGAAAAAUUGAACUGGUUUUGUGCCUAUAAUUGAAUCAGGAGUUGAAGGAGGUUAUCACCAAUGUACCAGAGAUCACAGAGCUUGUGGGAAGCAAAGCUGCAGAUCAAAUCUUCAACGUCCAUGAACACGAUGAAGACGAAAGAGUCAAAUCCGUUGUCCGGUUGAUCUUCACGCAGUUGAUGUCCGCAAGCAACAAUGAGACGAAGCAAGUGGUAUCUCGGAUGAAGAAUCGUCUGAUCUCGGAGACCAAACACCGUGAACUGUCGGAGAAAGAGAAUUUGGUUUUGGAAUUGGAGAAACAGUACUCAGGUGACAUAGGUGUGAUUUCAGCCUUUUUCUUUAACUACGUCAAGCUUAAUCGAGGAGAGGCUUUGUAUUUGGACGCAAACGACCCACACGCUUACAUUUCCGGCGACUGUGUCGAGUGUAUGGCGGCUUCAGACAACGUUGUUAGAGCUGGUCUCACUCCAAAACACCGCGAUGUUCAAACCCUUUGCUCUAUGCUUACUUACAAAUUGGUAACUUUCUUUACACGCUAACGUUUUAGUACCUUUCUUUACACGUUAAUGUUUUGGUUCAGCUGAUAAACCGAAUAUCAAAACCAAACUAGUAAUUGUUACUGUUUUCUUUGUUUGGUUUAUUGAUUAAUCGUACCGGAAUUUGUUCAGGGCUACCCGGAGAUUCUGAAAGGAUUUCCUCUAACUCCUUACGUUACAAGGUAUCUUCCUCCAUUUGAUGAGUUCGAAGUGGACCAUUGCGAUCUACCUGGUGGAAAUUCGACGGUUUUUCCGGCAGUACCGGGGCCUUCGGUUUAUUUGGUUAUUGAAGGUCAAGGGAAAUUGCAAACCGGUUCAUCUCAAUUGUUGGUUAACCGAGGAGAUGUUUUGUUUGUUCCGGCUCAUAACGAGGUUCACGUAACCGGAGAAAGUGAUGUGAUGAAGCUUUACAGAGCUGGAGUCAGCAGCAGAUUCUUCCAAACACUCUAGGCUAAAAAUUUAAGUAUAUGAUCUUUACUAAUUACUAUAUAUAUUUAUAAGCAUUCAUAGGGACCAAUUUUCCAAAUUGGUAGGAAUGUGUUGUUUAAUUCCCCGAUGGUGGCCCAUUGCAAAUUAAAAGUUCAAGGAGUUGUUAUUUUUCUAUUUUUAUUUAUAUAUAUACAUAUUUAAACGAACGAACUUUAUAUGUAAAAUAACUAAAAAAUCUUUUUAUCCAAUGUUUUUUUUUUUUGAUAAAAUCUUUUUAUCCAAUGUUUCAGAUUAGAAAAUGUUAAUGUGAUAUAUAUUAUCACGUGUAUUUGUGUUAAUUCGUGAAAUUCCAACGAAAACCUAGCAAUAAUGAAUAAAUUGGUUCAUGUUUCUUACAUAUUAUUUUAAGUGAUAUAUGUCGGCGUCAGAUUUCUUCCUCUCUUCUCUUUUUUAGUUUUUUCUUUUUCCUUUGUAUCGAUUUCUUUUAGCCGGCGGCGGCUCUUCCUUCUUUGUGGCUUAAUCAGAGACUUUUAAGUCGACGGCGAGCAGAGGUAGUUUUCUCAGAUGGAGGUUCGUUGGUGGAUCUACAAUGGGGAACUAUAACUCUCGACGACGGCAGCAGAUCUGGUGGAUUUCUUCGUCAGUCUCUUCGCGGAGGUACCUCUCCUCCGAUGAGCCUCUUUGGUGGCGGCGGCUCAGUGUUAAGAAGGGACAGAGGUAGGCGAAUCGUGGUUUUUCGAGCUUGGCUGUGAAGAUCCUAUCGAUCCCGGGCAGAUUUACAUGAUUCAAGGCUUUCUAGCUAUGCUGCCGCCAACGACUCCCGACAGAGAAUAAAUUAGAUGUAGGGGAGAUAAGAAAACCAUUUGGAUUGUAGAAGAAGAAGGAAAGCUCUCCAUUAAUGCCCCGGCUUCAAGAAAUUUUUGUCUCAGCCCGGUUAAUCCGGUUGAGUAUCAGUCGGAUUAGUAUGUCCGUUUUAGGCUUAGGACCGGAAUAGUGAAAGCCGAGGAGUCAAAACCCUUCUGAAGUUGCGCUUUUGGCGUAGAUGCUAUUAGGACACGCUCUACACUCGGAUCAUGAGGGACUAAUAGCUUGGAAUUGGUUUGGAUCUCAGGAGAGGAUUUGAUUUUCUUUGUGUUAGUAAUUGUUUUCGUGUCAUUGGGUGAAUUUAGGUGGUUUAAGAGAUGAUUUCACUUAGAGUCGUGGUGUAAUUCAUCUCGUUGUGGUUGGAAAAUACAAUGAUUUUCAGUUGGGUAGCGUUGGAUCCGUUAGUGUUUCAGGGUUUUAUUUGACUAAAUCAUUGUAUUUGAGUGAAGUUUGUCGAGGUCAAAUGAUUUGUAAUAUCGAUUUGGUGAAUGAAUAGUUGAUGUUGAGCAAAAAAAAAAAAAAAAAAAAAAAAAAAAACACAAUUUUUCGAUGCGAGGACUCUUCUAGGCUUCUAGCCUAUCAAUACUAGUAUUUUUACAGUCACUUUCGUCUUUGGUGAUGGAUGAGUAAAAAUGCUUCUGGGUUAUUUGGAUAUCCGAUCCAUUUUAAAAAAUCUUGCACAAAAAAUUUGUUGGGUCGGAGUAUAUUUAACCCAACUCAUACACCGGAUAUUCCAUAUUUAAUAAUUACAUAUUUAGAAGAUUUGAUUAAGAUUUAUAAUUAUGAUUCUCCUAUCAUCUUUGUUUGAUUUGUUUUUAACUGUUUUGAAUUAUCAUAUCUUACUAGGAUCGGACCCACGGUCCACCGCGGGAGAAUAUUGGUUUACAUACGUUGCGUUUAAUAUUGUGUGUUUUUUAGUAGAACGAAUCGUGUAGUAUACUUAUAAAUAUUCAUAAUAACGAAUUGUAGAGAAAAUGUAAAAUUGUUUAUAAAUAUACCCAUCGUAUUAAUUAUGAUUUACAAAAUAGAAUUUUGUGUUUAAAAAUUCUAAAAUUAGACGAUUCAUGAGAAUUAGAGCAGUCAAAAUAGGUCAAAAACCGCGGGUCGAGCCCACAUCAUCUCACUAUGGAGCAGAUUUGAGAAAAUAUAUUAAACCCACAAAUAAGCAGACCACAUGGAUUAAUUCGCAGUGGGUCAUAGGUUUAAUCAGUUUUCAUCCGCGGGUUGGCGGAUCAGCCCGCAUAUUAGUAUUUAUUGAUAAAAUUAUAAUUUAUUCAACAUGCGGUAAUUUAAACAAACUUUUAAUAGUAUUUUGAUUUAUUUAUUUAUUUUAGUAGUAUUUUAAAUUUUGGUUACUUUAAAAUUAUUUAAACAAAAUCCAUGGACAAUCCCGCAAAUCCGCAUACAUUCGCGGAACGGGUUUGUAUUUCAUAUAUGCUACCCGCGGGUCGUGCGGACCGACUAACUACAAGUCAAAAUAUUUUUUGUCUAUCGCAAAACGGACUUAACGGGACGAAUCAACUCGCUUUGACAGUUCUAAUGGGAAUAUUAUUUAGUCAUACAACAAAAUGAAGUUUGGACAUAGUAAUAAUAGAAUAUGUAUCUUAUUUGUUAGAUGAGAGAUUGAAAGAUGAAGUAUAAUGAUUAAAAAUUAAUUUUUUUUUCAUGAUUCACAAAUUUAAUAAAUACUUAUCAUCUUGUUGAAUAAUUCUAAAAUCAUAUUCAAGAAAUCUUUAUAAAUUGAAAAUUAAACUUUUUAGGUAAGCUAUAUGUAUGAAAAUAUCAUAAUUUUGAUUAAUCUAAUUAAAUUAAAAUUAGUUACAUGGAUUUCAUAUCUAUUUAAUUUACACGACCAAAAUAAAAAUAUCUAUUUAAUUUACAUGACCAAAAUAAAAAUAUCAAUUUAAUUUAUAAAACAGAUGGGUUAUUUGUGAUAAAUUUUCUAGAAAUCUUUAGAAGCAAGUAAAAUAUCUUUCAAUUAAUGAUAAUUGGCUAAAAUGAGCGAAAUUAACGACAAAAACGUUGAUUGUUAUGAAAUUAGUCCCAAAAAUAUAUGAACAAAUUUAUUAUACGUAAUUAAUGUAUAAUAUUGUUUGGAAUAUGCUUUUAUUAUUAGUUACCAUAAGUACAAUCAGAUUUUAUUUGAUUUCCAUAAAUAUUUGUUUUUAUUUCAAUUUUUCAUUAUUAAUUCGAAUUUAUAUUCCAAAAAAAUUUCAAAGAUCCGAUUUCAGAAUUUCGGGUCAAUUUUCUGAUUUUAACCCGACCCAUUUUCAAUUGUACUUCUCUUUUAAUAGUAUAGAGAUUAUAUAAAGUAUGGUUUUCAAAGUUAAUAACUCAUACGAUCGUAACACAUGGAAAAUCUAUCGAUCUUAAAUUUUAACACGUAUAAAACAAAAUUUCCUUUUUAAAAUAAUAAAAAAGAUAAUUGUAAAUAAUUAUAAAUUUAAAUAAUUUUAAAAAUAUAAAAUAACUAGUAUUUUUACAGUCACUUUCGUCUUUGGUGAUGGAUGAGUAAAAAUGCUUCUGGGUUAUUUGGAUAUCCGAUCCAUUUCAAAAAAUCUUUCACAAAAAAUUUGUUGGGUCGGAUUAUAUUUAACCCAACUCAUACACCGAAUAUUCCAUAUUUAAUAAUUAGAUAUUUAGAAGAUUUGAUUAAGAUUUAUAAUUAUGAUUCUCCUAUCAUCUUUGUUUGAUUUGUUUUUAACUGUUUUGAAUCAUCAUAUCUUAUUAUAUAAAGUAUAGUUUUCAAAGUUAAUAACUCAUACGAUCGUAACACGUGGAAAAUCUAUCGAUCUUAAAUUUUAACACGUAUAAAACAAAAUUUCCUUUUUAAAAUAAUAAAAAAAGAUAAUUGUAAAUAAUUAUAAAUUUAAAUAAUUUUAAAAAUAUAAAAUAUAAUGGUAAAUAAUUAAUAUUUCUAUAAACAAUUAAAAAAUGUCAAAAUAUAAUAAUAAGGAAAUUAUACGUUUUUUAUAAUUAGAAAUAUAUAUUUCAAUUAAACAAGAAAAAAUCAGGCAAAUUUAUUAAAAAGGAAACAUAUGUUAUUAUAAAACUAAUAUGUUCUAUUUCUGUUUCUCAAAGUUAGUAAUUAAUAGUAUUAUAAACCGUUAUCAGUCAAAGAUUUUAUCAUGAUUUAAUUUAAAAUUUGAUAUUAUUUAUCUCAAUUUCCUUUCCAAUUAGAAUAUAUGAUGAUUUAAUUAAACUAAUAUUCAUAUUAUUUAUUUGAGUUUAUUUUUUGAGAGAUCAAAUUUUUUUUUCUUUUUGUAAUAUUUUUUUACUUAACUGUGUUUUUUUUUCCUUAAUUAUUGUGGAUGUCGGAUUCACACACUCAAGUAUUUUUACUAAGCGGGAAAGAUUACUCUUGAGGGACAAAAAAUGAAUAUGUAAAAAGCUAUGAAUUGAUACAAAAAUUGCUAUAGUAUUUCUUGCUCGAGGAAAAGAUCCCCUUUACAUGGCCCUUGGCCAUUAUAUUUAUACAUAAAAAACAACAUUUAAGUGGCUAAUUAAGUACAAUUAUUCUUUCUUAAAUGUAUCCGUUUUGGUCUCAGAAUUUAAUGCUCAACGUUUGAAUUUGAAUUGAUUCCGACCUUCAUGGGCCUCGCCUCUCAGUCCAAAUUACCUUGAACCGACUUAACUAUGACUUCGACUCGUAUCGAGGUGCAAUCAAUUCGAACUUUCUUUGUGGUGUCACCACCUCGACCGCACCCUUAUCUUACAGACCUAAUGGGCCUUAUCCCUUGUGGGCCUUCGUCUUGACUGCGUGGCAAUCUUUGGUUGGUCCCGGACUACUAGUGCGGGAUCCGACACCAACAAUUAUGAUUGUAGUAUUUUUAGAUUGUUUAUUUCAAUUUCUCUUUUCAUAUUAAUUAUCAAAGAUUCAUAUAUCAUCGUGUUUAUAAUUUUUUAUUUUUAGUUUAACAGUUGUAACUUUAAAUUAUUUAUUUUGGUUUCUACGUUCAGUUUAAUAUAAGAUUUAUAAUAUAUCAAAAUUCUAAUGAUUUUAGAUAGCGACAAUGUCAUGAUUUAAAUUACAAUCUUAUAUUAUUUAUAUCAAUUUUAUUUUCUAAUUAGAAAUAUAUGAUGAUUUUAAGUAAAUUUUUAUAUUGUUUAUUUGAAAUUCUUGAAUAUGUAAGAACUUAUAUGCUUCUUCUUUGUUUUUGAUAUUUUGAAUUUAAUUAUACUAUUUCAAAAUUGUUUAUUUAAAUUUCUAUGUUCAUAUUUGAAUUAUAUAAGAUUCAUAUAUCAUCUCGCUUAUAAUUUUUUGAAUUUAUCAAUUUUUAUUGAUUGAUCAAUAAAGUCAUUACAAUCGAGUAUAUAAGAAUCGAACCUGAAACGUUAGCUUGGAAGACUAAGAGAUUUAGUCGAUUUAUCAUAUUUAUAUUUUUAACGUGUCUCAUUAGGAACCACUUUGGUUUCAGUCACCAACUUUAUGAUGAAUAUUUUUAAAUUUAGUUAUUCAUAUAGUAUACUAUGAGUUAUUGCUAUGUGAUAUAUCUUUCAUUCGAAAAAAUUUUGAAUUAAUAAUUUUAGUGGUUAAAGAAACAAUGCAACAGUGAAAAAGUAAAUAUUUUUUUUUACUUUUGUAAGAAAAUUUUUACUUACAACAUUGUUAAUUAAUCUUUUGUUAAAUUUGAUUUUAGUUUUUUUUUAAAAAUUAAACCCGUUCAUCGGACGGGUCCUUUUCUAGUAAUACAUAAAGUAGAAAAAAAUCAAUUUUUUUCUCCAUAACUGUUAUUCAAAAUUUAAAAAACGGACAUAUAUUAUCCAAUUGACGAAAAUGUGUGUUCAACGUUCUACAUCGAUUAAAAUAUUUAAACAAUGAUUCAGAAUCAUAUCAUAAAUAAGAUCAUUAAUAAAAUAAAUGAGUUUUUUGGCCGAACGGGUUUGGAGGGACGGAUUUUUGAAUCAACAAUAAUAAAAAGAUUAAAAUAUCAUUAAUCCGCCGCUUCAAUACAGAUUAAAUCCUUAUUUUUUAAUACUACAAAUAUUAGAUAUAUCAAAUCAGUCUCAUUUAGAAAAGAUUGUAUAAAACCAAAAUUGUCCCGUGAUAUAAUGUCGUGGUCUUAGAGGAUGAUAUGAUUUGUAAACUUUUAUAUAUAAUAAAUAAUUUUAAAAUUUUAAAAUAAAAACAAAUCACGGGACAGGUUAAGAAAUUACGGAACGGGUUAAUAUUUCGGAAAGAAUUUAUAUGGCGGACGAAUUUGAAUCAAUAUUUAUAUACCGCUUUAAUACGAGUUAAAUCCUCAGUUUAUUAAUAAUUGUCUCGUGGACUCGUGGUAUACCGUUACUUAAUAACAAUUGUAAACUAUAAUAUAAAUAAAUAUGUUAUAAGGAGAUACAAUUUACAAAAUAUUUUUAUACUAACUUUAAAAUUAAAUCAUCCGGGUUAAAAUCUAGUCUUGUUAUAUAUCAUACUAGAAUUAUCCUAUUUUGAGAUUCAUGACUAAUCAAAAAGUCAAAGCAAUCAAAUGAUAGAGUUUAUGGUUGUUCUAUAAAUUGUUUUGAGUUUCAUGAGCUUUCAUUUCAAAAAUCGAUAUAUCUACUUGUAUAGUUUUAUCUAAUCCAAAUCAAGAUAUCAGAUUAUCCUUAUGUAAUUUGAGUUGAUCUAAUCAGUAUACGAUAAAACUGAAGUGUGAUUUGCACUAUUUUGUAGUAACAACACUUUGCCUCUAUCAUUAUUUGGCGUCAAACGAUGACGUCUUAAGCUUCUUAACAUGUCUUCUUCACGUUAAAUGCAAAGUUUUGUAUACGUGCGCAGUGGUGAUGACGGCCUUCUAACGACUAUUGAAGAUCAAUAAAUAUCACAUUUAAUUACUCUCAUGACUCAUUCCAGUCCAAAUUUGAAUGGGCCUACAAAGAUUAUAUCCCAAUACAAAGUCCAAUUGACAGCAACCUCCGUCACCUGAUUCUCCAAUUCCGGUGAAAAAAUCAUCGCCGGGAAACAAUACUCGGCCAACGAUUCUUCAGUUUUUCACCAACUUUUGUAUAUACGGCUAAAGAGACAUAUAAUACAGAACAAAACAAACUCAAUCGGUUGCUAAAUCCACCAAUAAUCAUUUGGAUUCAGCAAACAAAGUCCAACAGAGAAUGAUAAGAUCUGAAAGUCCACCACCGUUUGCUUAUCGAUCAGCUUCACCAUCUUUUCUGUCGUAGUUGGCUCUUCUCCGUGCCUCCUACCAUUUUUCUCUCUCCAAAUAGAGUGGAUUGUGUUCUGGAACACAUACUUGAGUAUAAAUCCUUUGGUUUUAUCGAUGUCUUUUCCUGCAAGCAUCUUCAUGAUCUCUAGCCAUUUGUCGGAUCCUCAGUCCACUGACCAGCUCCUCCCACACCUUUCUUGAGAACGGGCAUUAAAAAAAUGAGUGAUCUCUUGUUUCCAGCGGGUCUUUGCAGAAGAUACAGCUCGUAUCCACGUUCUUGUUCCAUUUAUCAUUCUAUCCCCUGUUGCUACUCUGUUUUUCACAACUAACCAAGUCAGGAAAGCGUACUUUGGGGUAGCAUUCGCAAACCAGAUCUCAUCAGAGCCUCUCGCCUCCCGGAAACCUAGCUCUCUUCGCGGCUGCCCUUGACAACUAAACCUCCCCGAAAUCCCUCAGUACUUAGAUAAAUGCAUUUGCAGCGCUAACAAAGCUCGGGGCAACAACAGUGCUUGUGCGUCAGAUAUAUAUAUGCGACAAUGAGGAUCCACACCACAAGUCAGGCAAAUUCAAGUAAACCCCUGUAACGGAGCACUUGAUCUGCUCAAGGGCUCGUAGUAGUGUUUUCACAUCAAAUUGGAAGCUAUAACUUCUUUGAUUAGUUUUUAGUGAAAAUAAAUCUCUAGUUCAGUAAUAUAUGUGAAGAGGUUUUCGAGUUGCAAAAUUUCUGCAGAAACCUCAAGAAUUAAACUUAUUGACAAAAGAUAAAAACUUGUCUGAAGUUGUUUGGUCUCAUUGAUUCUUUCAACAACUUAAUAACCCAUAAUAACUAAUUUAACUGAAGCAAAAUCAUAAUGAACCAUCAUUCCAACAUUGAGAGACCAAGAUCACCAAUUUUACUUGCCCUGGUUGUUGAUUAAAGCUUUGGUUAGGAAAUGCGAAACGAUUCCAACCGGACAGAAGAGAAGGCAGAGCGAAACCGAAUGCCUCGUCUCGAUCUGAUUCUCUAACCCAUCAUUAUAAACUUGCCUGCAAAUAAAAACCGAAAACAUGGUUUAUAAGAAACAUGUUCGGAUAAAUUCAGAACCCAUUAAUUGAGAAGAAACAAAUCCGCAAUAUACCGUGCAGCAAAAAGAUCUAUCACAAGAAGAUGAAUCCAAGCAGAAGCAAGAGUCAUUUCACUUGAGAACAUUUUCGCUAUUCCGGACAGCUGCAGAUGAAAUAAAAACAUUAGAAACUGCAUUGAUACAUUCUUGUUUUCGAAUGUUUCGGGAUGGUUGAGGGAAAGCAAAACCUCUGGCAACAUGUAUUUACUAGAAAACAUGUAUUUGAGCGUCUCGGGUGUCCAAGAAAGGUAUAACAAAUAUGCGUAUAAUACGCCUAAGACGAUAUACGGUAUGCUACUCUCCAUACACUUCUUGGUCUGCAAAAAGCAACAUAAUACUCAAUUUAGAUCAACUUCUUUGGUUCUGCACAAAAACUGCAAUAAAACAUAAAACUUACAAUUUCAGCUUUUGGAGCUACAACCAUGAGCGUAUAAAAGGGAAGAACCGCGGUAGUUCCAACCGCAAAUACACUGCUUGCAAUCUGAGAAGUAGUUAACCCUGCAACAUGAAUAUAUAAGAGAUUCUAUCACUCAUUUAAUCUGAGAUCAAAAGUCACAAAUGAGUGACAAAGUUUUAAUCUUUAAACUUCAGUUACAAAUGCAGAGAAACACAUUACAUGAAGCUCGUACACCGGAGAAUUUCUUGCGAACUACAGAGUUAGAAUUCAACGAAACAUUGGACUGAACAGAGAUUCCUGAUCCUCCAAUGAAGCUCCAACGAUGAUCUAAUCUAAUCUUUGAAGAAUCAAGACAAAGUUCCAAUCUUUUAGCCGAAAUGUUGCGUUUCAUCAUCUGAAUUCAAGAAAGAUUCUCUUUUACUUCAUAGAAAUUCAGAAACUUUCAGACAAAAACUCACAACAAUCAAGAACAGAGAUUCUUUAACAGUGACUCAGGAGAAAUAAAGUCAACUUAGUCAAUUCGAAAACCCAUUAAAUUCUUCAAUUUGAGUCAAAAGAUAAAGACUUUUAAGGUUAUCCAUAACUAUUCAAAACAGUAGAACCUCAACACAUAUACGAAUAGUGAAAUUGAAGAAGAAGAUACCGUGAGAGAUGAAGACAAAGGCUGAGAAACGCAAGAAGAAAAAGCCAUCUCUGAUUUAAAUCUGCCAAAAAUUGAUCUUUCAUCACCUUCUUCAACAAACUCUCUGCAUAUAUAUAUAAAUUAAACACAAAGAGGAAUAAUGGUUUGAUAGAUUUCCACUGAAUUAAAAAAUAAAACGGAAGUGGAAGGAAAAAAAGUUGUCUUUCACACUCUUUCUUGCUCAGUGUCCACAAUUAUAUGCAACACUUUUUGCUCAUCCUUCCAUCUUUAAAAACUUCAAUUUCGGUUUAGUUUAUUUAAAUUACUUAGAUUUUUUGUUUAUUUAAAUUAAAAUCUAUUAUAAUAUGGCAUAAUCAGUAGAUUCAGUAUAAUUUUGGUUUAUUUCAAUCAAUGAUAUAUCUAAAUAUUAGUAUUAUUAUUAUCAUAUAAGAUUUUAGUAAAUUAAUUACACAAAAAAGUUCAAUAUAUAAGUACACAUAAAUUUUUGAAUAUAUUGAUGGAAAAUUUAAAUGUAAAUGGUUUAUUUUUGUGUGAAAGAAGUUAUAUGUUAAUGGAGAGUUGUGAUCAAAGUGAAUUUAGGUGGACAAGACACAAGUCUAGUUUCAGGACAGAAAAAGACAAUAGUUAGUGUUUCCCCCAUUAAUUCGUUUUUUUCUUUUAUUAGAUUAUAUAUUUUAAUUUGUAUUCACAACCUGGUUAUUGCAUUAAGAAUUGACUAUAAAAAGAUUUAAAAAAAAAAUACAUUAACGAAAAGAAAAACAAGAAAAAGAUAGACAUGUGGCUAAUACUCAUUGCUUGAGAAAUUGGAUGGAGUACGAAGAUAACUUGGGUGGGCUAUUUGGUAUGAUAACUUAUAUAUCUAUUAAUAGGCCUUUUGGCCCACCCACUUUGUUUUUUUUUCUAUUCCUUUAUCACUCCCACCUAAUUUGUUUAUUUCAACAAAAAACAACACAUGAAAACAAAAACAAAACUUUGGUAACUCCUAUCUAACCAAGUUAGAAAAAGCCUUUGGGAGGCGAUUUUUUAGGUCUAGCCGCCAAACAACUUCUCUUCUCAAAUCUUUGUCGAUACCUCUCUGAUUUUCCGGUGUCCUUGGCCGGAGUCGUGAGAGGGUGUGUCUGUUUAUCUUUUAAUUGAUUUUCCUUUGUUUUGGGUCUUCUUUGGCUUCUCCUAUGGCGGAUUAAAGACAAGAUCUAGAUGGUUGUGCUUCGAUUGGGUUGGUUCCGUUCUAGUGAUGGGUUUGCUUGGUUCUCAGUGGAUGGUCGGUGUUUUCGUCGGAGCCCGUGUGGUUCUUCACUAUUACGGCUGUUUGUUUUUGGAGAUGGAGGUUUGGUUACUUCAUCUUGUUUAUGCCCGUAACUUUUAGAAGCUCUGCAGUCUCGAUUCUGUCUUAGGCUAAGAUUGGAUUGCCUUUGGUUGGGUAAUUUAGUCUUAGUAGUAUGGUUGGUUGAGGGUAGAAGCCUUAGUUUCAAGUUUAGGGAUGGCAAUAUUGACUCCUAGUUCUGCCUCCUGUUACUUUCUGCCCGGUUAUUGGGGUUAUGAGUUUGUGAAGGUUUCGUUUUGUGGGUUCUUCAUUUGGAUGGUAGUCUCCUACAAAGGCAUCUACUAGCUCUCUUCUUUUUCCUUGUUUGGAUUUAAGGUUUGAGUUCAAGACGAUGUGGUAGGCUCGGUCUCUAUUCCUUCUCUUGCGUGGCGUAACAAGUUCUUAGGCUGUAGAUGGUUUUGGCUGGGUCUACGAAUGUCCGCGUGUAAGGUUUGUUGGCCCUCUUUAGCGUUUUCCCCUUCGGAUCUCAAGGCUUCUCCUUGUCCCUUCUCCUACUUGUCUUCUCUGGUUUCUGGUGUGGUAGUGAUGGUUAGGAUCUGUGUUCUGAUUCUCUUUUAUCUGUGCUCGUUUCUGCUCGGGGUGUGGUUGUGUGAGCUUGGUUUUGUAUCCUUCUCGGGCCUUUCAUGUAAAGGCAAUCUAAUGAUGGGUCCUCUUGUUGCUCCUGUUUGUAACCACUUUCCAGCGCCCAAAAUGUUCUAUGGAAAUGUUCGUCGGAUUCUUUUCGUGAAGAGUUUGCAGUUGUGUUGCUUGAGUCUUAGAUAUUAGCUUUUUCCUGUACUUUAAGGUUUUCCUUCUUUUAUGUCUGCCUUUUUUGGCUUUUGUCUUUGGGGGUUUCCAUGUAUCCGCCGGCUUAGUUUUCCGGGGAUUAGAGUCCCGCCGGGGUUAGUAUUUUACCAUGUAUCCCAACUUUGUAUUUCUCCCUUGGUUAUAUUUCAUGAAUUAUUCAGACGAAAAAAAAAAAAAAAGUAAGUCCUAUCUAUCAAUCUUUAUGUGGUAUUUGAGCAUUUCGAUGUAUUCGAUGGCGACCAAAACCUUUUGAAAAACAAUAUGUAUAAUUCUUGAAAUUAAAUAGUAAAAAAGUUAUUAAAAAAUGGGUAAAAAAGUUUUAAGAUAUUUGAAAACUUUCCACUAUAUCAAUAAUUAAUUAGAAAUGUUUUUUUUUUUUAAUAAAAUUUGAGUUUUUACGACCCACACAUAGCAUAUCCUAUUUCGAAAGUACCUAAACAAACGGUUCCAAAAUAUCUUUAUGUGAAUUUGGGUCAAGCCCUUCGAUUGAAGAAAAUAUAUGAUCCACAAGAUGCUUGAAUAUACUUAGUAAAAAUGAAUAUUCAAGACUCUUAUCCAGAAUCCUAUCCUAAAGAAGGCACGUCCACUAAUGUAUCCAUCACUAGAUUUCAAGUGGGUCAUCUUUUACUUAAAGAUAUUGUUAGUCUAAACCUCUCAAGCUCAUUAAUCAUGUGACAAGAAUUGAAUGUGAAUCUAAUUUUUCUAGUGAUUUCUUUAGCGACACUAGAUAUGCUAUGGUUCUUCAACUUGUAAAUUUCAUAUUUGGAGCCGCAUUGUCCUCUUUCAUUUUGUUCAUAUGCAAUUCAAAUUGAAAGACUUAUAGAACAUUACAUAUUUAUUUCAUCAGACAGUUGAGAAUCCGAUAGAAAAUGUCUCGCAAACCGGAAAACAAACGUUAAAUCCGGAAAUUAAAACCCAUAAAAAAAGAAGAAGAAAAAAAGCAGAAGAACAAGGGAUAAAAUCAAAGGUGGGGGAUAAUGUUUUGAUGUUUACACAGAGCAAAGGGAAAUUAACCGGUGAAGCUUGGUGGCUUGUAGGCAAUGAAACUGAUGCACUGCACUUGACGGCUGUUGUCGAAUCCGAUGAUCCUAAUGAAGGCUUCAGGGUACUCCUUCUUGCACUCUUCCACUUCCUUCAACACUUGAGCGGAGUCGGUGCAACCGAACAAGGGAAGCUUCCACAUUGUCCAGUACCGUCCAUCGUAGUAUCCGGGGCUGUUACCGUGCUCACGGUACACAAAUCCGUGCUACAAACCACAUAUAUUACAACCACUCAGAAAAACAUUUUGUAUAUGUUUAUAUAAUUCAAGAUUCCUAAUAUAUGAAGCGAAUUACUAACCUAAUUUUCCUAAGAUCUACCUCGUUUAUAUAUAUGUUUUAAGCUUUUAUUAAUUACCUCCAACUCGAAUUCAACACAAGGAAUCCACUUGUUGCGGAGAAGGUAGUCAACUUCCUUAGCCAAUUCGGAAUCGGUAAGGUCAGGAAGGUAAGAGAGAGUCUCGAACUUCUUCUUUCCAACGGGAGGCCACACCUAUAUUUUUUUUUUUUAUCGAUUUUUCGAAUCAUAUUAGUUCAUGUAAAUCUAAUUAAAAACCGAUAAUAAAUUAAAAAGUGAAGAAGAAAUAUAUAUGACCUGCAUGCAGUUAACUCUUCCGCCGUUGCUUGUGAUGGAAGUAAUGUCGUUGUUGGCCUUGCGGGUGGCUGGGAAGGCAGCGGAGGACUUAAGUCCGGUGAAAGGAGCGACCAUUGUGGCCUGAGCCGGAGAGGCAACCAUAGUAGCGGAAGAGAGCAUAGAGGAAGCCAUUGUUCUUCUUUACUCUUUGUGUGACUGAGGUUUGGUCUAGAGCUUUGGUCAUCUAUAUAUAAUGGUAAUAACGAUGAGAAUAAGCUUUGGAGUGAUCGGAGGGUCUAGGAUUCAUGAGAUUCAAGUGGAAUAGGAUCUAGACCGUUGGAUUUUGAGUGUGGAUAUGUGUGAGGUUAAUUCACUUGGUAACGGCCACAAAGGCCUAAGGAGAGGUGUUGAGACCCUUAUCGGCUUGAACCGCUGGAAUAAUGCCACGUGGAAGAUAAUUCCAUGAAUCUUAUCGUUAUCUAUGAGUGAAAAUGUGUGAUGGUGGUGCUACUCAUUUUACUGGCCUGGUGGUUUUGGCUCUUUCCUUUUGGGGAAUUUAUAUUUUACUUACUACAAGCUUUCAUACCUUUUUUUACCUUGGAUUUGGUUUGAAUAUUUUAAAUGGUAUGGUUCAUGAACAAAAACACAUUUGUUUGGGAAGUCUGUCAGUUGGGCCUUGGCCCAAUUGGUUUACCUGGUAGUCAGAAAUGCAGACGGCCUGACUACCCCCUGACACUUAGUCGGAAGGCAUUCCAAACUCGGGAUAGGCAGAGUGGUAGCCUGUAAGGGCCUAACCGUUAACACGGUGGACCAGUCCACUAUGUAGCACAUCGGUGCGUUCCUACCGGGACCGACCGGAUAGCCGAUAGGGUUUAUCAAAAAAAAAAAAAAAAAAAACUGUAAAAAGCUAAAAUAAACUGUAAGAAAAACAUCUCAAGUCUCCAUCUUCCUUUAUGAACACUAUAAACAAAGCAAGUCAGACAAAUCUUACUGGGCAUGUCUUCCCAACCUCUUCCAUCACUUCCCUAUCGGGUUGUAUGUUUUUACUUGUACUUUUCCGGUGUAAUGAUAGUAUGUUGACCCAAAGAAAAAGCCUUUAAGAACUUAUUGGGCUCUUUGUCAAAACUAAUUAAUUGGGCUCACAAUCGAAAGUCAUGGAAUAUAGAUAUAGUCCAAAGACUUUCCGACAGCUUUCUAAUCAAACGUGAAACGCCCAUCAAUUGAAAUUUACUAGUAAUAAUAAAUCAUCAGUUAGGUUACCCUUCUUAUUAUGUGCCAAAUUCAAUACAAUAUAAUUAUUUGAAUGAAAAUGUAUUAAUGUUAUUAAUCUAAUGGUUAGGUAAGAGCUAAAAAAAUCAUAUAUUAAAUAUAAGGUUCAACUUUUAAAAAUUAGAUUAGUGUUGAAAUCAUCGGUUUAUUCUAUUCAAAUCAUAGGUUUUUCGUAUUGAAAUUCAUUUAAUUCGUAAAAUGAUUGAAAACGUAAUUUAUUUUUAACCUAGAUAACAAAGAAUCAUAUACAUUUUUGUGUUUCGUUCAUUUACUUCAUAAUUUUAUUUAAUUUGAAUUUCUGUUUUUUAUUUGUGUAAGAUAUGUAUAUAACAUUGAUAGCAAAAUCUGUAAAUAAUAAGCUAAAACUCUCUCUGGAAACGUUACGUCAACAUAAAAAUUUCGUUAAUAACACUUGACAUGAGGGUAAAGUUCAUUUUUAAGAGUGUUUUUGAAUUAAUAUAUAGUGGAUACAAAUCUCGACUCUAAAAAAACACAUUAUAACUUUGAAUUCUGACUACAACUCUAUUUUUAAAUUCUGAUUGUAGAGUGAAAAAUCUUAAUACGAUAAAGCCAUGAAUAUUUUUUUUUUUUUGGGUAUCAAAAAACCAUGAAAACAUGUUAGUAGAAAAAAACUAGAAAGAACUUCAAGACAUUCAAAGAAUUAAUAUGGAAAUUUUGUAGAAAAAAUAGAAAGCACCCACAUAUCAUGAUAUAUGAUGUUUCUAAUCCCAACUUUAAGACUCAUUCAAAGAGUUAAUAUGGAAAUUUCAGAAAAUCUACCAUAUCGGACUUCCUCUUUUGUUGCAUAUGAAUAUGUUUACCAAUUAUGUGAAUGAAGAUUAUAUAUAUACUAGAUUUUAACGCGCGGUACUUAACCAGGGAUGGACGUAAACUCGUAAGCUACAGGAAUGCCUCACCCGAUGAUUGGUCCUUGGUUGGUUGACUAGCUACUCCUGCCACGAGUCGAGAAUUCUGAGAAUUGUGUUAGUUCAUGCCCUUUAGAACUUCCCCGCAACAAGAUAGAAAGAAGAGUAUAAUUCGGUUCACUCCUCACCUUUGAAAUGUAGCUUGAGCAGCUAAUCAGUCAAUACCGUGGGAUGCUUUUUUAAAAAGUUAAUAUAAAUUAAAUUUUGCAAAUUGCUCUAUCAAAAAACGAAUUCAAAAAAAAAAAUUGUAUCUCCUUAUAAAAUAUUUAAGUAACGGUAUACCAUGAGUCCACAGAACAAUUUUAAAAAAACUGAGGAUUUAACCCGUGUUAAAGCGGUAUGUUAAUGAUAUUUUAAAAUUUUAUAAAUAUUGAUUCAAAACCCGUUCUGAAAUACAACCCGUCCCGUAAUCUUUUCAUCCGUUCCUUGAUUUGUUUUCUAAAAGUUAUUAUUUUUAAAUUUAACGAUUAUUUAUUAUAUAUAAAAGUUUACAAAUUGUUUCAUUCUCUAAGACAUUUAUAUUUUAAUAAACUGAGGAUUUAAUCUGUAUUAAAGCGGUAUGUUAAUGAUAUUUUAUAAAUAUUGAUUCAAACUCGUCCACCAUAUAAUCAUGUUCCAAAAUAUAACCCGUCCUGUAAUUUCUUAACCCGUCCCGUGAUUUGUUUUCUAAAAGUAGUAAUUUUAAAUAUUUAUUGAUUAUUUAUUAUAUAUAAAAAUUUAAAAAUUGUAUCAUUCUCUAGGACAUUUAUAUUUUAUACUUUACAAUUGUUAUUAAGUAAUAUUAUACCAUGGGACAAUUUUUGGUUUUAUAUAAUCUUUUCUAAAUGAGACUGAUUAAGGUAUUAAAAAAUAAGGAUUUAAUCCGUAUUGAAACGACAGAUUAAUAAUAUUUUAAUUAUUUUAUUAUUGUUUAUUCAAAAACCUGUCCCGCCAAAGUCCAAACCCGUCCCGCUAGAAAACUUAUUUAUUUUAUUAAUGUUGAUCUUAUUUCUGAUAUGAUUCUGAAUCAUUGUCUAAAUAUUUUAGUCGAUUUGGAACGUUGAAUACACAAUUUUCGUCAAUUGGAUAAUAUAUGUCCGUUUUAAAUUUCGAAUCACAGUAUAUAGAAAAAAAAAUUGACUUUUUCUUUUACUUUACGUAUUAUAUGAUGAUUCAAAACAUUUAAAAACAAAUCAAACAAAAAUGAUAGGAAAAUCAUAAUUCUAAAUCUUAAUCAAAUCUUCUAAAUAUUAAAAUUAUUAAAUAUGGAAUAUCCUAUUUAUGAAUUGAGUUAAAUAUAAUCCGAUCUAACAAACUUUUUAUGACCAAAAUUUGUAAAUGGGUUGGAUACUCAUUGUAUCCAAAUACAUUUUGCUCUAUCCGUUAAAAAUAUAUUUAAAAAAUAUUAGCAUAGAUAUAUUACAAGAAGCUUAUGUUAUUCUAAUCAUAACAUUGAAGCUCCUCGUAAGGUAAAGCACACAAAAUUCCGAAAACCAUGGAACACGUAAGCCCCUGGCCCUGGGUUUGUAUUAUUCAAUUCAUUUGUUAUAUAUUCCUCCUAAAAUUAUGGAAGCGAUUGGAAGAUAUAGAAGAGGUUUUGUCCAACAAUUUAAAAUCGACGACGAAAAAGUAGGAUGACGUUAUUAACACGCGCGGCCAUAUGGAUGCAAAACCCUAUAUUUCUCUAAAAUUGUUUUGGCUAUUUCCUCUUUUUUUCUAAUAUAAAAAUGUUUUUGGACAUUUUUGCAUGGCAUCUUCACCUAUAUCUCCUCCAUUUGGCUUCCUUUAUUCAGUUCAAUGUAUCAUCAACAAGAGUUCACUACCUUUUAUUUCAUUCAUGGCUUGUUUUUAGUUCUAGAUUUGGAUUUUUGUAGCUUAACUUUUGAUAGAAUUCGGAAAGAGAAACUGAUAAACAAAAGGUAGAGUUAACGUUGGAUUCUGUAUCAGAUAAACCUCCAUAAAGGAUUAUAUCAUUGUAUAAGUCUAGCUAGAAAAUAUCCAUGUUCGUAUUUGUCAAUUAAAUUUUUUUUUGUAUUCGUUGUUUAUUAUAAAACGACAAAAAUGUAUUCGUAUGUUUAUGUUUUGUAUGCAUCUAUUUAGAUAACAUAUCAUUAGUUAUUUUUUUUUUAAAUAAUUAGUUAUUUACAAACCAUAUCAUAAAUGAAUUAUUAUUAAUUUUUUAUAAUUUUCUUGCUUACUUUUUGAGUGUACAUUGUCUUAGUUAUUUUUUGCCGCAUGAUUAUGUUAAGUAGUUAGGACCUUAUGGAGGAGAUAAUCGAGGUUAUGUGAAAUAAAAUUCUCCUAUCAUCUUUGUUUGAACAUUUUUAACUGUUUUGAAUUAUCAUAUAAUACAUAAAAUUAAAAAAAUCUCAAAUUUUUCUGCAUAUAUUGGGAUUCGAAAUUUUUAAAACAGAUAUAUAUUACCCAAUUGAUGAAAAAGGUGUGUGUUUAACGUCCCAUAUCGGCUAAAAUAUUUUUAAAUAUUGAUUCAGAAUCAUAUUAUAAAUAAGAUUAAAAUGAAUCCAAAUCUGAAUAAACAAGAUUCUCAACUUAAUAAGCAUCCAAAUUUAAAAUUAUAUACCAUUUUUCUAGGUUUUUUAGUUUAACUGCUUAAUUUUACCAGAAAUAUUAAAUUUUAAACCUUUAAAUUUUUUUAAAUAAUAUAUAAUUCAUAUAUCUAAAAUCAAUAAAUAUUUUAUAAUAUUAUGAACAUUUGAACAUAUAUAAAAAAUUACAAUAACACGAGACAGGUUAUAUUGGUAGAUAAGGUUAUAUAACGGUACGAAUUUUAAGUAGUUUUAAAUAUUAUAAUUAAUAUAUUUAAAAUCAAUAAACAUUUUAUACUAUAAAAAAAAUUGAAAAUAUAUAAAGAGUUAAAAUAAUUUGGGACGGUUAUAUUGCACGACGGAAUUAUAUUGCAGAGCAGAGUUAUAUUGCAGUGUGAGGUUAUAUUGCAGGACGGGGUUAUAUGAUGGGACGAGUUUGAUUAAAAAAAAUAAAACAUCAUUAACCCGCUGCUUCAAUACGGUUAAAUGUUCAUUUUAUUACUUUUUAACACCACCAAUAUCAGACAUAUCGAAUGAUACUGAUUAAAGUAAAUUGUAUAAAACAAAAAUUGUCUUGUUGUAUACUGUUACUUAAUAACAAUUGUAAAUUAGAAAAUAUAAAUAUCUUAUAAAAUAAUACAAUUUGAAAUUUUUUAUAAACAUUAAAUUUUAAAAAUCAUUAAUUUUAAAAAUAAAUCAUCCCACGGAUUAAAAUCUAGUAUUCUUUAAAUUAGCAAAACCGACCCAUCUCAAAUAGUGCAAAUGUAAAAGCGGAUAAAUUGGCACGAAAUGUUCGUACCGAACCGCAUCACAUCACGUAUGUAAACAACAUUCCUCAGGAAUGGCUCUUUUGAGUCUUAAUUAAUAGCGGUUGACAAAAAAAAAAAAGACCCAUCUUAAAUAGUUGCCUAAGUUUUUUUUUUUAGGCAACGGUUGGAUUAUUUGUUUCAGUAAUUGCGUAUACUCCCUCCGUUUUAAAUUAGUUAUCGUUUAAAGUUUUUUCACGCUUAUGAAGAAAAUAUUCAAUUUUUCUGUUUUACCCUUAAUUAAUGUAUUGUUUUAUGUGAUAUUAUCAAUUAAUAAGCUAAGAGAGUAUGGAUUAAAUUAGAAAAUCUUUUAAAAAUACGCACUGAAAACCUAAAACGAUAAUUAGUGUAAAACAAAAUUUAACUUUUAAAACGACAACUAAAUUAAAAUGGAUGGAGUAUAUAACAAGGAAAUCCUAGAGUGAGAAGGAAACUCCAAAACCAUGUUGACCAGAAUAAUUGGAAAACAACCUAUGAUGCUCAUAGAGAAUAGGUGAAACCGGUUUAGUUCCUACCUCAUCACUUUCCCCUCUCUGGAAAACCGGGAAAUUUUGUACUUACUGUUGAAAGUGUAAUUAAUACUUAAAAAAAAGUUUGCUAUAUCCUUUAGGAUUUGAACCGUGACUAUGAGUCUAAAUGGUAACAUUAGUUUUGAGGAAUUGUUGAGGAAUUUUGGUGGAAAAAAAAAAUGUUACAUCAUUUCAAGACUUGAGGAAUUUUUGAGGAAUUGGUGGAAUUCUUGAGGAAUUUUUUUUGUUAGGCUUUUUUUGUUUUAAUUAAAAAUUAAAUUAUACUUGAAACUAUAAAUAUUGAAAUUCAAUAGUACAAGUUGCUCGUAAAAAAAAAUUCUUAAUUAGACAAUUAUAAUUUCAUUUUUUUUUUAUCAAAAAGUAAAAUUAAUUAUAAGAUUUUAUGGUUUUAAAAGAUAAUAUUUGAUUAAAUUAUCACAUAUAUUAACUUUUGAUUUCACCAUAAUCACCAAAAUAUAUAAUAAUUAUGUUUGAUAACACUUUACAUAUAUUAACUUAAAAAUUUCAAUAAUUUUUGUAAUCUUAAAAACUUUUAGAAAAUUUAGAGAAUUUAAUUAAUUUAAAAGCAUAAAUCAGAUUCUAGUUUAGCUAACUUGAUUAUAUUUCUAAUAUAGUAAUUUUAAAUUUCUUCAAAAUUCAACCUUAUUUUUUACAAGUCACAAGUUUUUCAUAAUAUUUUGUUUUUAACUAAUUUUGUUGGAAAUUUUUUUUCUAAUUAAAGUUUUUAGAAGUUUAUUUGAUUAAUUAAUAUUAAAAAAAAAUCAACUAGAUUCAGCAGUUACCAUUUGAACUUUAAAUUUCUCAGCCAGAUUCCGCAAGAAAUUAUAAAUAAAUUCAGCUAGAUUCAGCAAUUCAGCCAGAUUCAGCCGGAUUCCUCGGUUACCAUUUAGACCCUAUAUUCUACCUAAGUUUCGAAAAAGAAUACACUAGCGUUCGUGAGGUAAGAGUAGACCGUAAGAUAACGUCAAAUUUGAUAUUUUAGUACUAGUAUUUAAAGUUAUUAUUCAAUAUUUGUUAUUGUUUUGUCUCUUAUUCUAAAAAUCCCCGUCCAUCCCGAUUACUCUCCUCUUAAUCACUAAUCCUAUCCUAUCCACUUCGAUUAAUGACUAAUCCCCUAAAAAAUCACUUACCCGAUUUUUUCACCGCCUAAUCUGAUUACUUUCUGCCUAAUCCGAUUACUUUCCUCCUAAUUUUAUAUAUCCCAAUUAUUUUUAGAUUGCAAGUAUAAAAAAACUUUUUAUUUUUGUUAUUCAAUUAUUUAAAUUGGGAGUUUGUGAUGUUUUACAAUAACUUAUGUUCAAAUUUUAAUAAAAAUCAUAAAUUUGUAAUAAAAAUCAUAAAAAUUUAUCUCAAAAAUACAGUUUUAUGUGUUUAUUGUAAUUUUAAAAACAAUUUGGAUUAAUAUGUUUUAAAACUAUUAAAAUAAUCCUAAAACUAAUCACAUAUUAAUCUCCAAUUUUAAUCUGAUUUUCUGAUUAAUCGCUAGUUCCAUACUAAGCGCCCGACUAGCGUAUAGAGAUUUUUCAAACAAGGGUUUUGUCCUAUCAGUUUGUUCAAAACUUGUUAGUUGUUCGUUUCUGUCCGUUACUCACAAUUUAUUUAGCUGUCCCAAUUUAAAUUUUAACCAAACUAUUCCAAACAUAUAGACGAGUUUUACUUCUCUCUUUUUUCAAUUCUGAAUCUUAAUUAUGCACAUUUCCAAAACUUACAUUAACUAUAACAUCUCCAUUGUUUUCUUUUUUUCAGCAUAGCUGAUGCAAAUUUCGAAUGCAAAUUCAUUAGAGUUGGAACAAAUUUCUUGAAAGAAACUAGCUAGUUGUUGCAUUCAUUUUUUCAAUAAAUAAUUUGGCAUAACAAGAAGAGAGAGUGGUGUUUAGAAUUUAUACGAUGACAAAUUGCACAUACUCAUAUUAUUAUAGAUUUUGUCCUGAAUUGUAGGUAAAUCUCUUACGUUUUUACUGUUUUUUUACUGGAAACUAUGGGUUUUAGGUAAUUAUUUCUAGCAAAAGAUAAACAAUAAGGACACAUAUGUCAAAUCUGUUGAUGUUGAAUAAUAUAUAAAAAAAAAGGUUACAACGAUUACGUAUAUACACCUUUUGACAUUUUGUUUUGGUAAACAUAUACUACUCCUUCUGUUUCAUAUUAUAUGAUGUUUUAGUCAUUUUAUCUUGUUUCACAAUAUAAGAUGUUUUGGACAAAAACAAUUUAAGUUUUCAUAUAAAAAAUUAAAUUUAUACAAUUUUAUAACUAUUUAUAUUCUGUAGUAAACUUUUUCAUUGGCCAAACUUUCUUUAAGUAAAUAUUAAAUUAUGAUUUCAAUGUAAAAAUAAUAGAAACAAAAAAAUUGACUAGUUUCUUAAACUUUGUAAUUUUAAUCAAAACAUCCUAUAUUUUGAAAAAGAAGGAGUACUAUAUAUUUUUAAGGUUAUUAAUAUUCUUUUUGAACUACUACAGUAUAUUUUCGAGCUAUAUACUACAUAUUGUGUGUGUAUAAUUCUUUUUUAUAUUAAUUAUAAAAGUAACAGAAAUUAGGUUAAACAUCACCAUUCAAUGCCGAUUGUUUUAGUGAAAGAAACUACCGAAUUUAACCAAUAAACAUUGAAAUUAUUUCUUUACUUAAAAAAGUAAAAUAUUGAGUCUAUACUCUAUAGUAGUCAAAGUGAUUCCAUUGGGAUAAUUUAUUAAGUGGUCUCUGGAUAAUAAUGUUUAAUUAUCAGAAUUAUGUAUGGAGCUACAUAAUGUGUAGCCGUUCAGAAAACGCGGCGAUUCGACCAAACUCUGUUACCACAAUGUCUCCACCACGCGAUCACAUUUUUCGCUUGCAUGCGAACGUUGAAGUUCGAACCUCUCCACUCUCUAUUUACCAUUUUACCCUCUAGUAGUUUCGUAUUCAAAAUUUACCAUCUCCAAAUAUUUUGGCAGUCCAUUAUUAAUUGCCGAACAUUAAACUGCGGCCAUGACAAAAAAAAAACAAACGGCGGUCAGAUAUAAAAAAGACUUAAACCAAAUACAGUAUAAAAAUACUUGACUGGUUUUGGACCUUUCGGUCGAUCGCGAUCACGCGCUACGAAUGAAGAGUCGGAGACAAAGCUCAACGGCUUCCAUAUAUGGUGCUUUCAUAUUUAUUACUCAUUCCGUUUCGUUUUAGUUAUCGUUUAAUGUUUUUUCACACAAAUUAAAAAAAUCAUUUAAUUUUUUGUUUUAUCCUUUAUUAAUAUAUUUUAUAAAAAAAUUCAUUGGCCAAAACAUUAUAACAAUAGGGAUAAAACUAGAAUUUUCACCAAACAUUUGCAUUGAAAACCUAAAACGACAACUAUUAUGAAACAAAAUUUAAAUCUUAAAACGACAACUAAACUGAAACGGAGGGAGUAGUAACUAAAAAAACAUUGCAUUCUAGAAAGUAUAAACCAUGAAAAUUGAAAUAUUGACAGUAAAAUUUAAUUUUUAACAAAAAAAAUAUUUCGUUGUCAAAAAAAAGCUAGAAAAAAAUUAUGUGAAACUUUGUUUAUUUUUAUAAAACCUUGUGUUCAUUUCCAUAACUUUACUAGUAAAACUUACUUACCUAAAUAAAUGUAUUUUUCUUAUCAUUUACUAAAAUUAAUUCAUACAAAAUAGAAAAAAACUAUUUUAGCUUUAUAAAAUACAUCAUUUAAAAAAGUAUAUAUAAAAAGGUUACGAUUUUUUUCUCUCUUUGACAUCUUAUACUCACUCUGCUCUUUUAUAAAUAAUGUUUAAAGUUUAUAUUUUUUGUUCUUAAAUAGAUGAUGAUGUUUUUAGUUUUCAAUAUAAUAUUAAUUAAUUUUUUAUUGGUUUUAAUGAUUUAUAUUAUGCAAAUAAUUUUUAUUAGUUGAUAAGAUAAUAAAUUAUGUUUGUUUUAAAGUAAAGAAAAUUAAAUAAUUUUUUAAUCUAUAUGUAUUUUCUUAAAACAUCAUCUAUAAAAGAAAGUUAGAGCAACAGCAAUGGUAGCUCUUAAAAGGCUCUAACCCAUAGUUUCUUGUAAUAAAAGGUCCAAAUUUAAAUCAAAACAGAAAUAAAACUUAAGGAACGUUUCUAAUUUAAGGUUUUUUUUGUUGCUCUAAGAGACGCUACGUGUCGCCUUGUCAUUAGCACGAAAAGUGAGAAAACAAACUUUUUUUUUUCUUUCGCGUUUCAGUUUUUCUCAACCCUCUCUCUUUUCUCUUUGUUUUCUCCGACGGCGAAUCUCUUUGAGCUUCAUUUCCGGCGAUGUACAUCAUCAAAUCGGAAGUAAAAAGCGAAGCAACGUUGUAAACAAUAAGCCGUGAUGCUCAUCUCCACCGUCGGCGUGGUCACCAACAGAAGUUCGUUGACCUAAUCAGUGGGUUCUGCAAAUCAAAUCGGAGAGAAAGGCGAUUCCAGUGGCUCCAAUCGCUUCCUCACGGUAUGAAUCUCUCAGUUUUAUUUGUUUGUGAUAUGAGAUUUGUUUUGCUAGAAAUUAGGGUUUUUGAUUUGUAAACGCAAUUUUGAGUUUUUGAAUAGAUAAUGAGUCUCUUAAUCUGUUAAUUUGGGUUAUUGAUUACAUAAUCUGAGAUUAAAGAUUUGUAUUUGAUCUUGAUUCAUGUAAAAAAGUCUGUUGAUCCACCAACAUGUCCUGCGGAUUACAGGUGGUAUAACGCAGAAGAGGAGAUUCUUGGGAAGAAAAUAAAAGUACUUUAGUUUGUUUUGUCUUUUUCUUGUGGAUUACAGUAUUAUAGUGGGAAGCGAUCAAGGCAUAAGAGGGAUGAUCAUGGUACUAUCAUGGUACUGGAGACAAGCAUCAAGAUAACAGUGAUGAUGUUGGCGACAGGCUUCUCACUUCUGGAGAUGACUACACUAAAGAUGAAAAAUAAGGGGGAGAAAAGCAGAGAUAAAUAUCGGGAAGACAAAGAAGAAGACAUCAAACAUAAAGGUGACAAGAGAGGAAAUUAUUGUUUCUUUUGUUUCUGUUAUGUGAUCAAUGUAAGAGACUUUCAUUGUCUCUCAGUUUUUAAAAUGAAUGAAUACAGCUUUGAGUUUAACUUUGGCUUUGGCUUUGGCUUUUGAAUGAAACAGAAUCAGUUUAACUUUGCCUUCUCUGUGAAAGCUUUGUUUUGAGUAAAUGACAAAACAGAUUCAGUAAAGACUUUGAGUUCUUGUACUCUCAUUUGCAGGAUGCAUAUUUUCGUCAUUAAGAGACAUGUCUAGUGCCAAAUUAGCCAUGUUCAUGUGCCAAAGUGUAGGCCAUAUUCUCAGUAUCUUCAAGAAGAAGAUGAUGUUCUUUCUUGUAUAGUUUUGUCUUUGAUGUGUUUUCAAAUGAAUCUUGUAUACUUUGUUAUAUUAUUGUCAUGAAUCUUGUUAUUUAAAAUGUGUUUAUAAAAAAUGUAUCAAAAACUUGUAUAGUUUGUCUUCUCUAUCUUUCUUUUCAAGCAAUCAAAACUCAAACACCAAAUUUUAUUUUCAAAUUUUUCUUUCUUAAGGAUUCCUACCAUUGGACAUGAAUAUUUCUAAGAGCCUCUAAGCAAAUCCUUAACUUUAUAUUUGUCAAAAUUUACAAUUAAAAAAUUCUUAAGGAUCCUUAAGAGAUCCUUACCAUUGCAAAUCCUUAACUUUAUAUUUGUCAAAAUUUACAAUUAAAAAAUUCUUAAGGAUCCUUAAGAGAUCCUUACCAUUGCUGUUGCUCUUAGGAGUACUUUGAAUUCGUUUAGACAAAAAUACAACACACGUCACAAAUUACAGACAAAUAUAUAAGACGACAAAGUCCUUCCCUCGUUAAUUGUUAUGAUCUCUCCGACCAAACCAAGCAGCUUCUCCCUCUUAAAUACCUCUGGACCGUAGUGUACUUUCCCCCAAACCCAAAAAACAAAACCUCCUCUUUUUUUUUCCCCUCUCUAAAAUGCGUAUGAGCUGUAACGGAUGUCGAGUUCUUCGAAAAGGCUGCAGUGAAAACUGUAGCAUAAGACCUUGUCUUCAAUGGAUCAAAUCCGCUGAAUCUCAAGCCAACGCCACCGUCUUCCUCGCCAAGUUCUAUGGCCGUGCCGGCCUCAUGAACCUCCUCAACACCGGUCCUGACCACCUCCGUCCUGGUAUACCAACUUCCCAUGCAUGUCAUGUUUUUUUUUGUUAUGGUUAAUUGCGAAGUUCUGGGCCGAAUCUCAUACAUCUUUUUACCGGGACUGCUAUUAGUCCCUCCAAGCCAGAAUCGAACUAGGUCUCUUAGGAAACAUAGGAUUCUGUUUAUUUUUCUAGCAUGCAUCUAAUGAUUUGUUUUUUUUUUUUUUUUUUUUUUUGUAGGGAUAUUUAGGUCAUUGUUGUACGAAGCAUGCGGGAGGAUUGUGAACCCGAUAUAUGGAUCAGUCGGUUUAUUGUGGUCCGGGAAUUGGCAUCUUUGUCAAGCUGCGGUCGAGGCCGUGAUGAGAGGCUCACCCGUGACUCCGAUCGCAUGCGACGCGGCGGUUACGGGUCAAGCUCCUCCUUUUAAUAACAAGCUCUGUGACAUAAGACACGUGUCAAGCAAGGAAGAGAACGUGAAGAGACGGAGCCGUGGUGCAUGCAAGGAAGAGAGAAACGUGAGGUCGUUGAGUCAUGAGUCGUCACUGAGCCACGAGUCACCGGUGUCGUCUGAAGAGACGACGACGGAGGAACCAAAGAGUUGGAUCGGGCUUGAGCUAACUUUGGGGUUGGAGCCUGUAUCACGUGGGAGUCACGUGGUUGUGCCGAUGAAGAAAAGAAAGUUGGAGAGGUGUGGCACGUCUGAGGAUGAGGACACGUGUAAGAUUGAGCUAGGACUCGUGUGCAGUGAGUGAAUGGUUCUUUUUUUUUUGGCUGGGUCUUAGUUACAAGUUUUGGUGUUGAGUUUUUAGGUGUACAAAUAGAGAUUAACAAAUCUCUCUUUUUUUUUUCUCUUUUUUGAGUUUUAUGUUUUUCUUUUCUUUUGCAUGUUCGGUGUAUGAAUGAUAAAGAGGUCUUAACUUAACAAAUCUGCUAUUUUCAGAGAUCUCUGGGGGAUUAGAUUACAAAAAAUCUUAAUUUGUUUAGUGGUGAAAUCUCCAUACGAUGAUUAGUCAUUCAUUAUAAAUAGUUUUAUUUCAAAAAGCCCUUUUGUAUGUGAACCGUUACCGAAUGACUAACAUGUGUGUUAGAUUUUCGUUCUCAAAGGAUAUGUGUAGAAAUCUUAAUUUAGCUAGAGAAGAGGUUGAAUUAUUUUAAAUUAAAUGGGUCGAAAUGUGUAUUCAGCCGAAAAUAUGGCCCAGCUCUUUUGGACUUGAAUCCAAAAUUUGUCCAUCUAUCUUCCCCUAUACACGCACACUUAUCAUUUAUGCUAAAAUAAUUAAUGCAGUUCUUAGACCACCCACAAUGGGUAAUUUCUCGUUGGGUGUAAGUAAUAAAAUAUAAGAAAAUAAGGGAAUAGUUAGUUUAGAGACAUAAGUUGAGUGUUAUCCCACACCCGGGUGUGAGAGCCACGUGGGAGGAUAUUGUUGGUUAGGAAUUUUUGACGGAAAGGAUCUCAUAAAAGUAGGCGCCUCUACCAAUAAUCAAGUCUAUUAACUUUAUUUCUAAACACAAACUCUUAGCUUUUUUUAAUUAUAAAACCGUCUUAACAUAUAUCCCUUCGGUUAUGCCUUUGCUGAUGCUCUAAGCCUACAGUAUAUAUUUUUUCCAUGAAAAUUAAUUUCACAAACUAAAAGUAUUAUAGGCUAAAAAAAUCAGUAAUAUAUGUAAUAUUAUUUGUUAAUUGUAAAAUUAUUCAGUAAAAUGCAGUUUUCCAAAGUUAAUAAGAAACUAACAAUUUUUUUCGUUAAACCUAGAGAAACUAAUAUUGUAGUUAAAAUUAUAACGUGGAAAAAUAAUUGAAUGAAAUCACUGGAACAUUUGUUUUUCAUUAUUCGAAUUCAAAAUGUGAUCUAAUAACUCGAAAAUAUGAAUUGGAUAGUUCUACUGCUGCAACGAUUGCAUUAGAACUAUUUAGAUUUCAGACUGUAGACUCAAUCGUGUGCCUUAAUGGGUGGGGUGACAUCGGCCGCAUGAUUUCAGAGCUAAGAUCUCUACAAUGUGACAACAAACUAUGUUAGUUUAAUUUUCAUAACCAAUAUAUGCAUUAUUUUAUCAAUCAUAUAUUUUUAAUAUCAGCGUCAAGUCAUCGAUUUACCCAGAACAAGAGAUUGUCCUGUAGUUUACGAGUUAAGUGGUUUCAAUUUUUUUUUUUUUCUUCUCGUGAGUGGUUUUAGUUUAAAAUAUUAUCUUAAAACAAUAAUUUUAUAUAAAACAGAAAGAAGAUUUUUGCGUCUAAUCAUUAUCGAAAGGAUAUAUCUAUCAUAUGCAGGCGCCAAAAAGGUGACCCAUGUACGCAAAGUCACAAACACAAUUGCAAAAUUGAUAUUUUAGUCAAUUAUCCCAUGUAAACAAUGAUUAUUUAGUAAGAAAAAAAAUGUGUACAUUGCAUACAAAUUGCAACACACAUCCACCACAAAUUACUUCUACGUUAGAAUGUCAAUAGUGUCGCAUUUGUAGUGUUGUUGUCUGUGGAAAUCGAAACUAACACAAUCAAGAUUUGUCUAGGGUUUUAUUUUAGGGAUACGAUAAUCGUGAAUUCUCAAAGAACAACAGAAACGAUUGAUACCAAAGAUGGUGUUCUUGAUAUUAUUAAUGAAAAGAUGAUUUUGAUCGUACAAGAGUUUGAUCGUAAAAGAAAAAGGUGUUUGUGCUGUGAGAGCUUUGCGUAGUGUAAAUUCUAGAGCGAUAUUCCUUGCCCUUCGUUUGAGCCUUGAGUCUCUUUAUAUAGGGACGAUAAACCGCCUCUCCAGCGAUAUUCUCGGAAGAUUUCCAUUUAUCUUGAAGUCGGCCAGAAUAUCGCGGAUUAGGACAAUUUCCUUAUUCUUCGGAGUUUUCGGAAGAUUUCCUGAUUUGAGUUGAUCCUUCGCGAUUCUUCCUUAUCAUUUCCGAGUUUAUCGGAAAUGAUCCUUCUUUUUCGGAAAUGAUAACUUGCUUGGAAAUGAUACCUUUAGAGAAGAAUAUUUACUAAGUCUUUGCUUCGGGCGAUGAUGAAGACUUCGCCUCGGGGAACUUAUGCAACUGGCUCGGGUACACAGGAAGAACCGGCUCGGGCACUCUAGGAUGGCUUCUUCGGGUGUCCCCGAGGCGAUGGGCUCAGAAACUCCCGAGGCGACCAGGCUCGGGUACCCUCGAGGCAAUUGGGCUCGGGUGCUUCCGAUGUCUUGUUCAGGAUAUCCCCGAGGCGAUGGGCUCGGGUACCCCCGAGGCAAUUGGGCUCGGGUGCUUUCGUCGUCUUGUUUAAGUAUCCCCGAGGCGAUGGGCUCGGGUACCCCCGAGGCAAUUGGGCUCGGGUGCUUUCGUCGUCUUGUUUAAGUAUCCCCGAGGCGAUGGGCUCGGGUAUACUAAAUCGAUUAGACAGAUAUCCCGAGGUGAAUGAUGCGAUGCCCCGAGAUGAUCUCUGAAAGACUCCCGAAGUGUUCUAAGUCUGGCUCGGCGCCAAAGGGUGGAACCCGACCCCAACAUUGUCCGUUGUCACAUGGUAAAUUCGGUAGAUACACUCUUUUAUGUAGGUUAGGAAGUUUUGUACCUUAGAUGUGUAGUCUUUGGAAUCAUGGAAUAGAAGAGUAAUCUAUAAUUUAACUUUUAAGAGUUCAAACUCAUCGUGUUAAGGGUUCAUACCCUUUUUUUAGUACGAAAGUUUAGUUUUCAAAUCAGAAUAUCUAAAAAUUGACUUUGGAUAUUAGAAGACAGUAUGGACCGAAAGUUCGGAACUUCCACAGUUUAUUAAAAAAAUAAAAUUCAUAAUCUGGUCUCAUAUUUUGGAAACUUUCCUAGUCCAGGCCAGAGCUAACGCUGAAUUGAUCGCCGACCUUGAAGGCGGCAAAAAUGUCGAAGAUGAAAAGGAGGAAGUUCUCCAGUGGAAAGCUGAGUAUGGAGAUGCUGAGGAGGAGUUUGUGCGGAUCGGAACCGAGCUGCGAGAGGAUCUGAGGCUUCCUCCGGCUUCUCCGGAUUCUGUUGAAGAUAAUUUCGGAAACAGGUCAAUCGAGGGGGUUGCCGCGGGAAUUGGUAUUACGGAUCAAGCCGGCACGAAUCUGAGUUCCGAAGUCGCACAUGUUCCGGAGGAGCGGGAUGAGUAGAUCCGUGGCACAUUUCUUCUUUUAAUUCUGGAUUUUUGUAAGACUUGAUGCCUGGACGGCUUUAUCCACUAUUGAUAAUGAAUAUAUUUUGUUCUCGAUAAAUUUCUAGUCUCAGAGUAACUUUUCGAACCACUUUUCGAACCACUUUUCGAACCAGGCAAAUCGUGUACCAGUGUUAAGUAAACUGGGUUUUGGUAAGUAGGACUAAUCUUUGUCGGUUGCGACCCGAGCUGAUAUAGUCGAUGCCAGUGCUUAGAAGCGAACUGGGGUACCAGUGUAGAAGUCAACUGGGUUUUCUGAAGACAAUUUCUUUAUGGCAGGAUAUCUCCGACCGAAUCGUCUCGACUGUUUAUAUAGCGCGCUGUAACCGAGGCGGUGAAAAGAGCUUUUUCUGUCCGAGGACGUGGCCAUCGUCCGAACGAACUUUUAGCUUUAUAGAUCGAUAAGAUGACCGUUAAAAUCUCCGAGGUGGAUAAGAUUGGUAACCCGAAGGGUAAAAACUUAGAGAAUUUGAAAAAUUUAGUGGGAGUAUAUAAGUAUACGGACCCACUCCCCCCUUUUUUUAAUUAGGGGGGGUAGCUGAACUCGUCCGAGGACGAGCUGCCUACGUACCCUUUUCAGGGAUCAAGCCACCCCGUAGUUCAAGUACAUGCGUACCUUAGGUUUUUAGCGGUAGUAUUUCCUUAGAUGCAUUGCGUUCCAGGAUCUAGGUACCGCUUUGCCGUUCAUGUUGAUGAGUUCGUAAACGCCGGGACGGAUUACCUUUGCGAUCGUGUAAGGUCCCUCCCAAUUCGCGCCGAGUUUGCCUGCGUUCUGCUCGGCGGUAUUCUGGAAAACUUUGCGCAGUACGAGAUCUCCUUCGUGGAAACGGUGAUGUUUAACGUGAGAGUUGUAAUACCGAGCCGUUGCAUUCUGAUAGUUCUGCAUUCGGACCAAAGCCGAAUCUCUUCUUUCGUCAAUUAAGUCCAGCUCGUCCAGCAUCAUCUGAGUGUUGGAAUUUUCCUGCUCGGGGAGAAAACGUCUUCUCAGUCCCGGGAUCUCGGCUUUGGUGGGAAUCACACACUCCGUGCCGUAGACAAGGGCGAAAGGUGUUUCUCCCGUGGCUCGCCGUGGCGUGGUUCUGUGUGACCAGAGUACUCCUUCUAAUUCGUCGGCCCAGCGGCCUUUCUUUGCGUCGAGGCGCUUUUUUAUUCCGUCGAGAAUCGUCUUGUUUGCCGCUUCGGCCUGUCCGUUCCCCUGAGGAUACCGAGGCGUAGAUUUGCUGAGGUGAAUUCCCCAUUUCUCGCAGAAUCCUUCGAACCGAGCCGAAAUAAACUGCGAUCCGUUGUCUGUAACGAUCUCAUAAGGUAUCCCGUGGCGGCAUAUGAUGUUCUUCCAGACGAAGUUUUUGACCUGCGCGUCUUUGAUGCUGGCGUAGGAGUCUGCCUCGAUCCAUUUGGAGAAGUAGUCUGUUAGUACGAGGACGAGUUUCUUCUGUUUGGAGUUGUGUAGAGGUCUGAUGAUGUCCAUGGACCAUCGCAUGAACAGAUAAGGCGAAGUGAUAGAAGAGAGGAGCUCGGCGGGUUGAUGAAUGGUUGGUGCGUGCCUCUGGCAUUUAUCACACCGUUGAGAAAAUUUCUCGCAGUCUUUGACCAUCGUCGGCCAAAAAUAUCCGUGGCGUUUGAUCUUUAUGGCUAGGGCUCUCCCGCCGGAAUGGUUUCCACAAGAUCCGCCGUGUACUUCUUCCAUGACUCUCCGAGCUUCGUUUCCUUCGACACAGAUAAGGAGAGGACCAGAAAAUCGCCAUUUAAAGAGCUCUCCGUCGAUCAGAGUAUACCGAGCCGCUUUGGCCUUAAGCUUCCGAGCUGCCCACUUUUCAGUAGGAACUUCUCCAUCGGCAAUGUAGCUUCGGAUGGCUCCGAUCCAUUUAGCGUCGCUUCCGUACUCGGGCUCGGUUGCGUCCGUAGUUUGCUGGUCUAGCUGUUCGAUGUCCAUUUCUUCCAGUUCUUCUGUCUCCCGAGCUGUCAGAACUUGAUCCUUGCUAUUAUCUUCAAUGCUCGGUUUUUCGAUGAACUCAACCGGUAUGAUCCUCUUCAGAUUUGGGUCGGAGGUUGAAGCUAGAGCCGCUAAGGCAUCGGCCGAUGUGUUCUCACCUCGUGGAAUUCUGGUUAACUCGAACUCUCCGAACUGUUUCGCCAAGUCUUGCGUGAGAGCAAGAUACGCUUCCAUUCGUUCGUCGCGAGCCGCGUAUUCUCCAUUGAAUUGAUUAGCCACGAGCUGGGAGUCGCAAAAGGCUCGCAGCUUGUUGAUCUUAAGUCCCCGAGCCAGCUUAAGUCCUGCUAUCAGCGCUUCGUACUCGGCCACGUUGUUAGUCGCGUCGAAAUUUAGCCGAAAGGAUUGUUCAAGGAUUUCACCUUCUGGUGAUGCGAGGCGGAUUCCGACGCCAGAACCUUGUUUUGAGGAUGAGCCGUCGACGUGGAGGAUCCAAACAGCGUUGGGUGACUCUUCUCGGGUGUUCUCUGUCGGCAGUUCGAUGAUGAAAUCGGCCAGGACUUGAGAUUUCGCGCAUGUUUUGUUUCUGUAUUCGAUGUCAUACUCGCUGAGUUCUACUGCCCACUUGGCCAAGCGUCCCGAUUGGCUCGGACUGUGCAGGAUGGUUCGGAGGGAUACGGGCGCCAUGACGACAAUUGAGUGAGACUGAAAAUAUGGUCGUAGCUUCCGAGCUGACAUUACUACAGCGAGGGCGAGCUUUUCAGUUUGCGGAUAGCGUGUUUCCGCGUCGGUGAAAGUUUGCGAGACAUAAAAUAUCGGCUUCUGCUCUCCUCUGUCUUCCCUGACUAUGACUCCACUUAUAGCCGUAUCAGAGACUGCGAUGUACAGGAAUAACGGCUCGCCCGGGACUGGUUUCGCUAAAACCGGUGGAUUGGCCAUAUACUUCUUUAGUUCCUGGAAAGCUUCUUCGCAGCGAUCGGUCCAUUCGAAUUUCUUGUUCCCGCGCAGAGUAUCGUAGAAAGCCAGGCAUUUGUCAGUGGAUCGCGAGAUGAAUCGGUUCAAGGCUGCAACUCUCCCGGUGAGACGUUGGACUUCGCGCUUGUUCUGCGGUGAGGGCAUGUUUAGUAGAGCAUCGAUCUGCUUCGGGUUUGCCUCGAUGCCUCGGUGAGUUACAAGAUAUCCCAAGAAUUCUCCAGACUUUACCGCGAAACGACAUUUUGCCGGGUUAAGCUUCAUGUUGUGCUUAUUGAGCUGACGGAAACAGUCGCGUAGAUGGCCUAUGUGAUCGCUUUCCUCAAGGGAUUUGACUAACAUAUCGUCGAUAUAAACUUCCAUCGUCUUCCCGAGCUGCUCGGAAAACAUCCUGUUGACGAGCCGUUGAUACGUUGCGCCAGCAUUCUUGAGUCCGAAGGGCAUGACUUUGUAACAGUAGAUACCUCGGUCUGUGAUGAAUGCUGUCUUCUCGCGAUCGUCGGGGUGCAUGAGAAUCUGAUUGUAUCCUGCGAAAGCGUCCAUGAAUGAUAGCAACUUAUUUCCCGCGGUUGCUUCCACUAAACGAUCGAUAUGUGGGAGCGGAAAACUGUCUUUAGGGAAAGCUUUGUUCAGAUCGGUGAAAUCGACGCAGACUCUCCACUUGCCGUUCUUCUUUUUAACCACGACGGGAUUUGCUAACCAGUCCGGAUACCUUGCUUCAGAGAUCGAGCCGAUCUUCAGGAGCUUUUCAACUUCGGCGUUCACGGCAUCUGCGCGAUCCCGGCCCAAUUUUCUUCGCUUCUGCUUGAUGGGCUUGAAAGAUGGAUCAACAUUCAGCUCGUGGCAGAUUACGUCGAUGCUCACUCCAGGUAGAUCUUCAGCUGACCAGGCGAAGGUGUUGAUGUUCUCUUUGAGGAAUGAGAUGAGCUCGGUCUUGAUUUCCUCGCUUAAGUCGCUGCCAAUUUCCACGCAUCGUUCAGGCCGUUCGUCCUCGAGGCUAAUGGAGAUUACAGGAUCCGAGGUAGGCUUCUUCUCCUCGCGCGCCUCCUCGAUCUGUAAUUGCUAUAACUGUUUAGAUAUAGCCUUCUCUUCACUCCGGCCAAGUUUCGAUUUCUUGUGAUCGGUUUCAGCCUUCGCUUCAGUGACAGGGUUUCGGAGUUUGUGUGCUGCCAUGAAACACAUCCGAGAAUUUUUCUGACUGCCCCAUAUCGUUUUCACGCCAUUAGGGGUCGGGAAUUUGACACACAGAUGAUAUGUCGAUGCGACAGCUCGCAUUAGAUUUAACCACGGGGUUCCCAUUAUGAUGUUGUAGAUGGUAGGUCGGUCGGUGACUGAGAAGUUGACUGUCUUUGUUACCCCGCCGGCUCGGACUGGUAGUUGGAUGGUUCCAAGUGUCAUCAGAGUUUCCCUUGAAAAUCCGAGGACAGGCUUCGGGGUCGGAAUCACCUGUGACAUGUCGAUGUUCAUUCGUUGGAGCGUUUCGCGAAAGAUCACAUCAAUGGUGCUGCCGGUGUCAAUUAACACUCGGUAAAUAUCAUGAUCUCCUAUCGCUAAUGUGACGACGAUUGGAUCGUUAUGUGGCAUGUCGAGCCCGUUUGUCUCGCUUUCUUCGAAUGUGAUCACGUCGUUAGGUCGAUCGAAGCGUCUUGUCCAGUUGCUAGGCGUCUCGGCUCGGCGUUGAUAAGCUUUGAUUGCCGCUACGGUAUCAGGACAGUAUGGCGAUCCGCCCAUUAUGGUAAGAACCUUCUGCCGCGUACCAUCUCGGUCUUCGUCUUCCGACCCCCGGGUUCUUUUCUGAGACUCCUGGUUCCUUGGUUCGGGGUCUCUUCCUGGGUUGGUCUGCUCGGGCUCCGGUUCUGGCUCGAGGUCCUUAAGAGUAACGUUUGUCCCGAGCUCUCCAGCUAGGAAUUUGGUUGCUAACUUGGCUCCGAGGCUUCGGCAUCUCGAGGUAUGAUGGCCGAAAAUUUUGUGGUGUUCGCAAUAUUCUUGAUCAUUGCUCGGUGGCUGAUCCCUUGUCCAGGUGAAGGACUCUCUUCCUCGCCCACGGCCUCGGCCUCUGCCGCGGCCACGGCCUCGGGGCGUGUCAAUCUGAUAGCUAUGGUAUCCUGAAAAAUUGCGCCCCUCGUGAUGCGUAUACGUACCGCUCUCACGCGUUUUCUUCUGGACCGAAGGUGUCGCUUGGGUUUUCUCGGUUUUCUCGGUUCGGGGCGCCUGUUUUGUUGGCUCGUGCCUCUUUGCUAGUAGCGCCAUUUCUUCUUCGUGGGCGACGAAAUCCGAGGCUCGAUGCAGCGCGUCGCGAAUUGUUGUUGGUUUAGACAGGUUUAACUCUUUCCUGAAUUCUGACUUGUACCAGAGAGCUUUCUUCAAAGCCGAGAGAGCUGCUACAUCUGUAAUUCCUUCGACUUUGGCUAGCGUCGAUUUGAAGGUCUUGAGGAAAUCCCUUAAUGGCUCGGUGGGCUGUUGAGACAAGGACCAUAGAUCCGCGUCGGAAGUUCCGGGGUCGAUGAGCACGGAGUAUUGUUUGAGGAACAAUGUCGACAGCUCGUCGAAACUAUCAAUCGAGUUUCGUUCCAAUCUUGAAAACCACUCUAAUGCGGGUCCUUUGAGAUGUUCCACGAACAGUAAGCACAGACCCGCAUCCUUUUCCCCGGGCUUGAACCUGGCUCGGGCCACAGAUAUCACGAACGAUUUAAUGUGGCACUUCGGGUCGGUUGAUCCGUUGUAGGAGUCGAUUCUGAACUUUCCCAGGUUGGACAUCGUCGUCUCAGAAAUUCUUUUGGUGAAGGGCGUAUUCCGAGAUUCUUCCAAAAUUCGGUCGAUGUUCGGCGCGGAGGAUGAGACGCUAUGUAUCUGGGUUUUGACGAGCUUCAUAUCGGCUUCCGCCUUGGCUAGGGAGGCUCGGAUCUUGCUUAGCUCGCCUUCUCUUUCGGAUUCUUCGGCCCACCUUAUGUUUUCCUCAGUUUCUUCGUCAUCAGUGAGAUCUGUUCGCUCGGCGGAGUUAGCUCCGGCUCGGGUACGCUCAUCUUGCAGAUCAUCUGGCUCGUCCGUCAAGUCCACUGCGUCCGGCUCGGUGGGAUCAUCUUGGUUCUCGCGCCUGGCAGGGUCGGCUCGGGUUGCGACUCUGGUGUUGCCGGUUGGUGUCGCGAACGUGAGUCUCGUUGGGUUGAUGCCAGGCAAGUCCCUCCGAGCUCGUGGUGGCCGAGUUUGGAAACGUGUGGUUUUUUGUUGCCCGCGUGUUGCGAUUUCGUCGACUCGCUGCGCCAAGGUUUGGUUGGCUUUCUCUUGGUCGUCAGUUUUCUUCUGAAAUUUAACCAUCAGAUCUUUCAGUUCGGCUAGAGUCGCUAGGAUCGUCGGAUCGGCGGCUUGAGGAUUCUGAGGGUUCGGAGGGUUCGGGAUUCCUCCUCCAGCUGGUGGCGUCUGACGGCCGUCUUCGUUCAUCGUCCUUUUCAGUAAUCGAGUUCUGCGUCUUAGGGUAAGAGAAUUCUAAAGUAUCCCCACAGACGGCGCCAAACUGUGGAAGUCGAAACUAACACAAUCAAGAUUUGUCUAGGGUUUUAUUUUAGGGAUACGAUAAUCGUGAAUUCUCAAAGAACAACAGAAACGAUUGAUACCAAAGAUGGUGUUCUUGAUAUUAUUAAUGAAAAGAUGAUUUUGAUCGUACAAGAGUUUGAUCGUAAAAGAAAAAGGUGUUUGUGCUGUGAGAGCUUUGCGUAGUGUAAAUUCUAGAGCGAUAUUCCUUGCCCUUCGUUUGAGCCUUGAGUCUCUUUAUAUAGGGACGAUAAACCGCCUCUCCAGCGAUAUUCUCGGAAGAUUUCCAUUUAUCUUGAAGUCGGCCAGAAUAUCGCGGAUUAGGACAAUUUCCUUAUUCUUCGGAGUUUUCGGAAGAUUUCCUGAUUUGAGUUGAUCCUUCGCGAUUCUUCCUUAUCAUUUCCGAGUUUAUCGGAAAUGAUCCUUCUUUUUCGGAAAUGAUAACUUGCUUGGAAAUGAUACCUUUAGAGAAGAAUAUUUACUAAGUCUUUGCUUCGGGCGAUGAUGAAGACUUCGCCUCGGGGAACUUAUGCAACUGGCUCGGGUACACAGGAAGAACCGGCUCGGGCACUCUAGGAUGGCUUCUUCGGGUGUCCCCGAGGCGAUGGGCUCAGAAACUCCCGAGGCGACCAGGCUCGGGUACCCUCGAGGCAAUUGGGCUCGGGUGCUUCCGAUGUCUUGUUCAGGAUAUCCCCGAGGCGAUGGGCUCGGGUACCCCCGAGGCAAUUGGGCUCGGGUGCUUUCGUCGUCUUGUUUAAGUAUCCCCGAGGCGAUGGGCUCGGGUACCCCCGAGGCAAUUGGGCUCGGGUGCUUUCGUCGUCUUGUUUAAGUAUCCCCGAGGCGAUGGGCUCGGGUAUACUAAAUCGAUUAGACAGAUAUCCCGAGGUGAAUGAUGCGAUGCCCCGAGAUGAUCUCUGAAAGACUCCCGAAGUGUUCUAAGUCUGGCUCGGCGCCAAAGGGUGGAACCCGACCCCAACAUUGUCCGUUGUCACAUGGUAAAUUCGGUAGAUACACUCUUUUAUGUAGGUUAGGAAGUUUUGUACCUUAGAUGUGUAGUCUUUGGAAUCAUGGAAUAGAAGAGUAAUCUAUAAUUUAACUUUUAAGAGUUCAAACUCAUCGUGUUAAGGGUUCAUACCCUUUUUUUAGUACGAAAGUUUAGUUUUCAAAUCAGAAUAUCUAAAAAUUGACUUUGGAUAUUAGAAGACAGUAUGGACCGAAAGUUCGGAACUUCCACAGUUUAUUAAAAAAAUAAAAUUCAUAAUCUGGUCUCAUAUUUUGAUAUAGGGUUUAACCAGUUAAACUAUCGAUUUUUAUUUCUGCUAACGUACUUAUGUUAUUAUUCACACAAAAUAAUAUUGCUUUUUCAUCAUUUACACAAAAAUAUUAUUAUGUUUGCGAUUGGCAGUGGCGGAUCUAGAAACAAGUUUUAUAGGGGUCAAAAUAAUACAAAAUUUUUAUGAUGAACAAUAAAUUAAAAAAUUAUAUGAAUUAAAGGGGUCAUUUGGAAGUUAGAACAAAAAUUUAUAGGGGUCAAACACUAAUUUUAACCAAAUAUUUCCUCAAAUUCAAUCAAAUUUACACUAAAAAUAAAUAAUAUAUAAAAUUUAUAGGGGUCAUGUGAACCCACUCCCUCCUUACCUCCGCCACUGGUGAUUGGUGUUUACUUAGUAAAAGCGUGUUAUAGAUGAAAUGAAAAUGUUUUUGUGUCUGGUAGUGAUAUCUUUGUCAAAUAUGAAAUUAGGCAGUAACAUGAGCAAUUUAGGCUUUUUUUUUCAAAAAAAAAUUGAUUUAAAAAUAUAUUGUUUUUGAACUUUAUUCUGUAUUUUAAAUAUUUCUGUUUCAUUUAAAUUUAAGUUUUUGAUUUUUAUUCAUAUAUUAAAUUAGUUUACAAUUUAAAAAUUCCUUUUUACUAUAGUUUUAUGAUUUUUCUCACAAUUCAUAGCUCAUACUACGGAAUCGCGACGACUUUUCUACUAAGACCAACACAAAUUCCUUACAAGCGACGAAGUUUCCAGCGAUAGUAUAUUUUCUCGCAACAUCAUUUUAAGGUUUGUGACGGUGAACUUACUGUCAAUGAUUCACAAAUCUUGAAAGAGAUUUACGAGGAUCAUUUUGCAAUGGAUCCACUAUAAAAUUAUUUUUUCGCAAAAUUUGUGAGAGAAUUGCUACGAAAUACUUUCUUGAGAAUAGCAUUUUUUUUUGUAGUUUAGCUUAAAUCAUAACCUUUUAACGAAUGUAUUUUUAUAAAUGCCAUUCAUUUUAAAUAUGUAAUGUAAUACUAAGAUUGGGUGAUUGAUUAACACCUUAUCUACCAAUGGCUUUUAUGAAUGUGCACUUAAGCGCUAGAGGUAAACUAGCUUCCAUUACCCGUUAAUCAAACUAAAUUGUACCCUUGAAAAUAUAUAGGUUAUUGACCAUUAUUUGCACAAUGGCACGGUUCAUUUAAUCGAUUUCAUGUCGUUGGUCGGUAGUUCGCUCUUUUUCUAUGUCAUAGACCUUUGUACAGUCCAUUAACGUACCAUUGUAUGUUGUGUUAAGGGGUUAAGUAAAUCAAAAAAAAAGAAAGUAUGCAUGAUUUGAGUUCGAGAUUUAUCUCGCAGCCAGAAGGUUUUUCUUUAUUCUUUCUAACUCUAUUAUGCUUUGUUCUCAUGUAAAACCAUUUUGAGGAUGAGAGCUUUAUUGCACAUUUUCAUGUUUUGAUGUACUUAACCCCUUAACAUAAAAAUGUUGAGUCUUACUUGUUGAAUCGAGAUAUUGGAAUGUAAAUUGAGUAGUGACUAGUAGCAUUCCUAUUACAUUCCCAAAAUUCUUCACGGAUCUGGAUAAUGACCGUUUUUGUAUAAGAUCAGAUUUUUGAUGGUUUUUUGGGAUUGGUAAUUGAACAUCUAGCGAAAUAGAUGUUAGCUUAAAGAUUCUUAUAUAAUUUUACAUAGAAAAUGGUCUAGAAAUAUCAUAUUAAGAAGAAAAGUCAAAAUAGUAAGUUUUGCAAGAAAAGUAUGAAUAACUCUUAUGUAAAAGAUGCAUGUUUAAAAGGUUGUAUGCACAAUAUUAUUUGGACAAAGUCUAAUUGGGCUGCCUGCCUCUGUCCCCCUGUACUAUAUCGUUUCAACUCGGUUCUCCCUGUACUUUCACCCUCUACCUAUUUUCCCUAUACACAUGAUAUUCUUCACAACGCGAUUUAGUGAUUUUAAAACGCAUUUAAGGAGCUUAAUUGAUUUUGGAGAAUUAGGUAAAAUUUUAUAAAAAUGGGUAGAAUUGUGAAGAAUAUCAUGUGUAUAGGGAGAAAUAGGUAGAGGGUGAAAGUACAGGGGGAACCGAGUUGAAACGAUAUAGUACAAGGGGACAGGGGCAGGCAUCCCAGUCUAAUUAGACAAGAAAUAAUCUUACAUCUGAAAGAAAUAUUAUGGACUAGACAUUCAAUGCCUCGAGUGAUUAUAUGAUAAUUAUAUGAAUUUGUUCAUUAAGGUUCUACUUAUAAUAAUUUCUAUAUAUAUGAUCGGAAUGUAAAUCUUGAAGAUGAUGUUUCCGGAAGAAGAAAUAUGAUUAUGUGCGUGAUUGUACUAUUUUUUUCCUAUCAUGGUUUUUGUUUCAUUGAGUUUUCCCCUUAAGUACUAGUAGUGGUCAUGAAACUUCAUAAAUAUUUUUGGUUAAAAACCUAAUACGCACUUAUUGCUAAAAUUUGACUCUCUAAAAACUUCAUUUUGGUGAUAUCCAAAUCCAUUCUCAUAUAUAUAUAUAUAUAUAUAUAUAUAUAUAUUUAUAUUUAGUGCAAAAAUAUAAAAAGAUUUCAAAACAGUCUGAUUUAAAUUUUGUUAAAAAAAUAUAAAAAUCAACAAGAAAAUCAAUAAUGAGUAGUGGACAUAUAAGAGUUAAAAAGUUGGCAUUAAUUAUAUAGAAUUACAAGUUGACAUGCUUCUCCGUUAUGAAAUAAGGUGCUUUAUCGAUUCAGGCACUUAAAAUAUUGGAAGAUAAGAUGCAAAAAUCAAGCUUAUAAUCAUUAUAAGUGCUGAUCUAAAACAAAAUAAAUUUAUUAAAAAGAUCACCUCGUUACCCCCAUCACUUAUCAUUCCUAUUAUCUGUCAUGUUUCUUUAUUAUUUAAAGGCUUAUCUAGAUUGAACCCAUUUUACUAUAUAAUUAUGAGUUUAAAUAGUUUUAUAUUAAAAAUUCACCUUUUUACUUUAUAAAGUCCAAAAGAUUUAGAUGAAGACCGACUGUUUUUGGCUUAGGCCAGAGAACAUAAUGUGACCUUAAAGCCAAAGAUAAACAUAAUGUGACCUUACACAGAGACAACCCAUCAAAACCCUUCUUGUGUUUUUUUUAACUAAUAUUACGAAAAGAUAUUUUCUAUACAUCUCCAACUAAUUUGGCCAUGGAGGCUGGAGCACCAAUUUAUUUCUGGUUUAGGAAACAAUCUCUUGAUUUUCUAUAAAGAAAUCUUCAGAUUUUCUUUAUCUCUCCCAGCUUAGUUUCAACCGAGUUAGAAUCUUACGAGUGCACUGUCCAAAUUGAUUGUAUAUAUUUUUUUGUGUAUAACUUGACAUUUCUCUGUUUCCACUGCCACAGUCUCAUUAAUUUUAGUUUAAAAUAUUUAGAUUUAGUGACUAAUUUUAAUACUGAAUUUAAGAUGUUGGAAUUAUGAUUUAAAUGUCAUGCGUUCGAGUUCAUAUAUAUAAAAAUAAUCAAAAGUGGCAAUUGAAAUUAGACAAAAAAAAAUUGGGAACUGAAAAUGAUAACAAUAAACGGUGUUUUUAUAGAAAACAACUUAGAGCAUGGUCAUCAAGGAAGUUUUGAUGGACUUCUCAUCAUUAAAAAAAUAUUUAAUCAAAAAGUAGAGAUAUUGAUAUACGGUUUUCAUGAGAAACAUUUUUUACUUUUUAACAUAUCCAUUUAACACUUUUUUUUUGUUCUAUUAAUUUAACUUUUUUAUGAUUUAAAAAUUAAAUAAAUAAUAAAAAAUAAAAUAAUAUAUUUAAGAGGCUCAAUGGGUUCUUACCGAUACAAAUGCUUUUAUAGAAACAUAAUAUAUUGCAAACAACAACGUUAACUUUUAAAGUUUCUAAUUUUUUUUGAAAUUCGGAAAUUGAAUGAAAAUUAAUAAAAAUAUGUGAAAGUUUCCAAAAAAUACUUGAAAUUUUUCAAAAACUUUUGAAAUUUCUAUUUUUUUUCUCAAAAUGUCCAACAAUUUUGGUAAGAAUAUGGUAAACAAUACUCAUCAAAAAAAUUUAGCACACGAUGCAAUGAAAGUUCCAAAAACGAAAAGUUGCUAUCUAUUCCUGAUUGUUUUUGUUAACAAAAUGUGAGUUAUUUGAGUAAAUUUAAUUUCGAAACGACUUUAUUUAAUGAAUAUAAGCCUGUCGACAGAAAAACUACAUAUAUAAAAAUUCCUUCACCUAAAAUAUAAAUAAUUCUGUUGACAAAAGAAAGUAUACAUAUAAACUGUUAUAAAAAUUGUAGCCAUCAACCCACUUUCACCCUCUUUCAUAUGACUUGCAAUGUGGUUUUCUAUUAGACUCGUGAUAAAAUCAUUAGUCUUGGCAAAUGGUUAAAAAAAAAAAACUAGUUCUAACGUUAAAUGUUGUUUGAUGCAGUGCAUUUCCACUUCGUUUUGAGUUUGUAUUUCUUUGAUUCUUUCCAUUAUUUUUUAGAAGUUGACUUUGAUGAUUUCCAUAUUUUGGAGUUGAGUUUGGAUAGAAUUUUUUUAUUUCUUUUUUCUGUUAAAUGUUAUUAGCACAAAAAAAAAAGUUCCCCUCAAAUAGAGAGUAAUUGAAGGUUACAGAAUAGAUGACAAAAAAAUAAAAUAAAGGUUACAGAAUAAUCCCCAAUCGAGUACAAAAAAUUACAGAUUAGUAAUAAAAAAAAAUUCCAAUGGGACGUUGGGGGAGAAGCACUUUGAGAAAUCGCUCUUCUCAAGCAACGAGGAUAAGAUUCAAUGGAAAUAAUACAAUCUCUAAUUAAAAGUAAUAAAGUUUAUUUUGUUUUUGUUCUUAUAGAUUAGUCAAAGAAAGAGUAUCAUUUGGGGGUCAUGGGCUCAUGAGGCCCGAGUGUCGUCUGCUUUCAGAGUGUUGGAUAGAUGAAUAAUCAUGCAUGUUGUACAAUAUUAGUAUAUUACAGUAAAAUAUCCAAAUAUUGUAGUUCAACGCAAGGCAACUCGAAAAUGUGUCGCUAAUUUUGAAAUAACUUGCAACCUAUUUCAAUUUGUAAUUAUCAAGAAAACAAAAAUUAAAACUCUUCAUUAUACUCAUUACAAAAUCGUUUCAAUUACAAAUCCCUCAUGUCACUCAAAAAUAAGUACUCUCUCAGGAAGCUUAACUAGAUAAGUCUCCCUUCACGGAUCAAGUGGCUUUAAAACUAAUUGAACUCCAUACUUAGGUUUUAUAGUAAGCACAACUAUAGGAGCAUGUCUAUAAUUCUCCGAUAUUUCGAAACUGAAUUUGGAAACAAGCAUUGCUAAUAUUAUCUUCGCCUCCAUCAUCGCAAAAGUCUGGCCAAUGCAGUUCCUAGGUCCAGCUGCAAAAGGCAUGAAAUGGCGACUAGAUGCAAAACUUCUAGUCGUAAAUCGUUCAGGGUUGAACUCGUUCGCAUCUUCGCCCCAUAAUUCUUUACUAUGAUGGAUAGCAAGGACAGGGAUCCAUAUAGAUAAACCUUUAGGGAUGAUUAGGUCACCUAGUUUUAUGUCUUCAAAUGCCAUUCUUGGUAAAAGAGUAGCAGGAGGGUAAAGUCUUAGUGACUCGUUUAUCACUUUGUUUAACUGUUGAAAAAAAGAAAAAUAAAGAGAGAAAGAUAAGUUAGUUGAAUAUUAAAAUAUAUAAAACCCUUUUAAGAUAUCAUAUCUAACAAUCUUGUGAAGUGCCUUAUGACUCUUUCUCAAGGAUCUUUACUUGAUUUUAAGAAUUGCCUUUCAAUCUGUCAAAAUCGUUUAAUGAAUGAUUUCUUUUAGUAUUUUAUGCAAAGCAUGUUGUAGUGUUAAUCUUUUCAACAAGUGGAAUAUUUUACUUAUCUCAUUAUUAAAAUAUACCUUAGUUCAAUUUAAAUGUGGAAAGGCAAUUCAUCAUGAGUCUCUCUAUUGGUCUAUCUAAUAAAAUGAAGCAAUGCCAAUGUUAAUUUCACUUAGUCUAAUAACUAAUAAAUAUCUGCAAUUUGUUGUAUGUCAUACAUGAAAUGAAUGAUCUGACUUGAAACUAUAUAUAACAAUUAAUGAAAUAAAUCAAUAAUACAUUAACAAUUUUUGUAGAUAUAUCAUAUUAAAGUUGACCAGAUAUGUACUAAUUGAAAUUUAGUUACGGAAGAAGCACUACGACUUAGUGGCAUUGCCUGUAGUGUGUUGAAUGAACGUAGUACCCCACCCGCACCCAUAAAAAUUGGCGUUACAAUCAAAAAACUUUUUUUUUAAAUGAAAGAUAUAAUUGUGAUUCUAUCCUAAUUCUCGACCAAAGUCAAAACUUUAGUAGACAUGUGUAUAUGCAUAACAACGCAUAAGACAUUAUCACAUAUGUUUCAAUUGUUUGAAGUGUUAUACUACUUCUUUUAAUAUCUCAUAUUUUUAUUUUUAAGAAAUUAUUUUAUUUUGUAAAAUCGUAAUGGAAACGUGAAACUCAUAUGAUCUUUCUCUUUCCGUUUGCUUUUAAAUAUUCAAAAGACUUCUGAUUUUUUUGGGUCAACUAACCUUUACUUAUUUAUUUGCGUAGGUUUAAAGGCGAACCAAUAAAGAAAAAAAAACAGAUAACGAAUUCUAGCUUUACGAGCGAGAAAAUUACCUACCUCAAGAUUAGACAAACAAAGAUAUAAAACAAAAUAGAAAGAAGAAAGACUCUAAAAGCUGCGGUUUUAUGUUAAACACGAAUAAAAAUCAUUAUUUUAUAAUUCAUUAGGCACUAAUCGAACUUUCGAGAAGGACAUAACGCCUAAUCAAUCAAUCAAAGAUUAACUGGAAUUUAUAUUUAAUAUAUAUUAUUUAUUUUUUAAUAUUUUGUUUGCAUAAAAUUAAAAAUAUGAUGUUAAUUUUUUAGAUAUUUCUUUUCAUUCUUAAUAUUUUAUUAUUAAGAUAUUAGAAAUAUAUUAACCAUGAUUUCGGAUGCCUAAGCUAAAGUAAGACAAAUGAUAAGAAUUAACCAUUGUUCCAUUAAAAAACGACGAAGGAAGGUGAUAGUGUGAGUGAAAAGAACGUACCGAAGUAAGACUUGAGAGCUGUUCAACGGAGGGGACACCAUCUUGGCCACAAACUUGCCUGACCUCAUCGCGGACCUUGUCCUGCCAUGUGGGAUUAUGAGCAAGGAGCAUGAGAGUCCACGUGAGGAGAAGAGAAGUUGUCUCAUGACCGGUGAAGAAGAAAGUCUUGCACUCAUCCAUUAUCAUUUGAACAUUAAGGUUGUUCUUGUUGCGAUCCAUCUGGUUCAAUAGAAGCCCUAAGAGGUCAUCUCCAUAGGAACUACUCCGACCGAUCUCUACACUGUCUCUUCGGCUCUCUAUAAUCUCCAUCAAAAGACGUUCCACUUCCGUUUUAAGAGACUUUAUCUCUCUAUUGUAUUUGCUCGGUAGAAACCUUUUUGAGACACAAAGAUUAAUUACACGUUAAAGUCAUUAAUUAGAUGCAUGCAACGUUUUUACGUUGGCGCUAGCAAAAAAACAGAAAUAGUAAAAUAUGUCAGUGGAUAUAUUUAAAUUAACGUUUCAUUAAAUUAAGUAAAAUAUACUAAUAAUACUUUAUUAUUCUUUUAGGAUAUUUUAUUUAAUAAAAAAGCCGCGAAAUGGCAAAUUUUGUUUCUUUCAAUUUUAGUCUUAAAAGUUUGUAGAAUCGUAGAAUGAUUUAAGAUAACUUGCAAUAUUCAUACACAAAAAAAAAAGAAAGAUUUGUGAAAAAAAAACAAAAGAUACUUACCGGCUACCGGGAAAACAGAGGUGGCGAGUGGCUUGAGCACAUAGACGUUGAAGAACAGUGAGUAGACUGAAAAGCUCCUUUCCUUUGUCACAACUGCUUCCAAACUCGGUCCUCGAUAUUAUAUCCGCCGUGAGCCGCCGCAUCUCCUCUCCGAUUUCCACCUCUUCCCCAACCUCCUUUCUCAGCCUCUCAGCCAUCAUCUUCGUGCACUCCACCAUAUGCUUCGCGUAUCCUUUGAGCCUAUCACGUGUGAACGCCGGAGCCGCCAUGUGGCGUUGGUGGUGCCAAGCCUCGCCGUUGGCCAUGAGGAGCCCCCGCCCUAUAAACCCUUUAGUUCCUUGUUGUUGCAGCCACGAUUUUCCGGUGACCGGAUUGUGCUUCGUUAGCAAUUCCUUAAUCAUCUCCGUCUCCGUUAGACAUAGCCUCGGUUCUGUCCCGUUCCACACUAUAAAUCUCUUUCCUACAAGAGGGCAUUUCAGUCAUUUUCGAUUGCGUAGAUGUGUAAUCCAAUAGAAAAUGCAUUGUAGGCAUGUCCGGUCCAAAGCAUAAGCAAAGGAAACUAUAAUUAUCCGCUUCAUGUUUGAACGUUAAUAUUUGGGGAAAAAAUAUUAAAUUUUAUUUUUCAGGUAACAUAAUAGCAUAAAAAAAGACGUUUUCUAAAUUAUAGACGGACAUCCAAAAACGUUGAACGAGCGUUAAUGGUGCAUACCGUAUUGUUUGGACCAAGAGACAUAAUGAGGAAGAAGGCGUGGGACGAUGUUAUGGUGGAUGGAGGAGCAGUCGUUAGAAGCGGAUUGAGAGAGCAUUUUGGAGAUAUCGAUGAUGUUUCCGGUAAGGAGACGGGGUUUAGGGCCGGUGAUGCCUUGACGUUCCAUAAACUUCUUGAUGCGUCUUGGUGUGAGGAAGUAGCAACAAAUGGAGUCGUAUAGGACUCUCAAUAUCAAGGUCAUGACUAUCACGAGGACAUACUUUAGUACUAAUGUAACCAUCAUCUUUAAUUUCUUUGUUUUAUUAAAAAAAUAAACAAGAUUUUGAGAAAGAGAGAAAGAGAUUGUUUGGUAAGAGAUACGGAACAACAUUGUUGAGUACCAAAGCAUCUAUUUAUAGUGCUGCAGAGGCUGCAGUGGAGUUAAAACGGUAUUAAUUCAUUCUUGUUAUUUUAUUUUAUUUAAUCAUUUACUUUCUCAAAAAUGUUUUCAACUUUUUAAAAACAAAGACUUAUUUAUUUGUAUUUUUUUUCCGGGACUUCAUUUUUAUUAUAGAAAAACACGUACGGAGAAGAAAAUUCGUCGACUAAUGGCAGAUCCUAAAUUCAAUUAUUAUUAUUAUAACAGAUAUUGUGGCUAGUGUUACACUUUCUAGUUUAUGAUUUAUGAUUUCAGCUGUAAGUAAUCCUUCGAAUUUUGUGUGUUUCAAUGAAAUUAAUACUCUAUAAGUAUGAUUGGUGAAAGUUAGUUGUUAUCUAGAAAACUGUGAAAUUUAAUACAUUCAUUUUUUUUUUUUUUGAUAAAAUACAUUCAUUUUAUUUAAAAUUAGAUUUUCUUGUAAAGAGAGUAUAGUUGAGAGAGUAGUAGAUUUUUUUAAAAUAACGAAUUAUACAUAUAUAUCUACAUAUAUUUUAGUAACGAGGAUAUAGCAUAUAGCUGGAAAUAUUAUUUAUGUAGAAAUAUGAUCAUCAAUUGCAACUUAUAAAUAUGAGAAAUUGCACUAAAUAUUUAUCCACUAAAAACGUUGGGGACAAAAUUUGCGGUUCACACGAUGCAUUACAAAUAUUUAUACUAUCAAGAAAAUAAGAUCGGGUCAAUCAUUUAUGGUACGAUAUACUAUUUGAUUUUGUCCGAUAGUUACUUUUUUUUUUGUGUGUGGGUACAGCGUUAGAUAACUAUUUAAAUCGCUUUUGCCUUUCAAAAAAUGCGUAACUUUAUUCUUGCAAAAUGUAUCUGAGUCAGAUCCAAAAUUUCAUUCUUUUCCAUAUUAUUGGCAAUAACCAGAUUUAUAUUUUACAUGCUUAUCCACUUGUGUGAUUGAAAUCGACUUGGAUGACUUAUUUAGAAUGAAUUUGGCCGGCUUGGGCAUUGUGGAAAGAUGACGGAUCAGGAUCGAUGCUCUCCCGAAGAAAGCGGAAUGUACAAUGACCGUCUUACACCAUGUACAAGUGAGUAGCCGAACAUAGUCCAGAGUAGAAAAUAAAAAUUUGUAUACAUAUAAACUAGAACCUAUAAUAUUUUAGAAACUAUUUGAUCACAUAUUUAAAUUUGUCUCUCAAAAAUAUUUUGAACUUGGUAUAUAUAUAUAAUUUGAAACGGUUCUAUUAAACAGUCCAAUCAACGUGGGGUUUAGAAGGUGAUUGCCACUCGCUAAUGGAUGUGUUGAGUAAGCAUAAAUCAACUAAGUUACACCUAUGCCAAUUUUUCACAGACAAUUGGUGCCGGAACUGGUAUUUCUGGAUAGUCGUAAUGAUAUUUACAAAAAGAAAAGAUAAACAAAGUGUAGAUCGAGUAGCUAAAAGAAAACUGUAAUUCGUGACUCUUGUUCCAAAACAACGUUUAAAUAUAAUAAAAAUGACAUUUGAAAAACAAAAUCUUUUUCAUUCGAGCUCUCUUUUAUAUAGAUUUUCUUACUAAUAGCAUUUUUAACUUGUCCUCCAGUAAUUUGUAAUUGAUAGUAUUGAUGUUAUAACUUAAUUAAGAUGUUUUAAUAUAAUCUAAUACUUAAUGUUUAAAAAUAUUAAUUUGUUCUAAAGAAUUGAUAUUGUUACAUAUAUGUCGAUUUAUAUACUUUUAUGAUUAGAAAGAAGAUUUGCCGUCAAUUAGAAAAGCAAAAGCAGUGAUGGGUAAAGAUUGCGUAUCUUGGGAAAUGAAUAUGAAAAGCAAAGAAAACUUAUACACAUCAUAAUAAUCUUGAGAAAACUAGCUUGCCCAGAUUUCUACAAUCCACUAAAAAAAUUAAAAAGAAAUAAGAUAAACAUAUCUGAAUAUUCUUUCAAAGAUUAUCUUCACUGUUUUAUUUACUUUUAUCGUCACUUUCUCCUUUGAAGAACAUGUUUGGUGACAAAGUCAUUCCGUAACAACCGGUUAUAUGAAGGAAUUUAUUGUACACGUUUAUAAAUAAUGAAGAAAUGACACAACCCUUGAAUCAGGGAUGUUUCCUUCACUUUGAAUUUACAUAUUGAGCUUAAUUCGUGCUAUAUACUAACUAGUGUUGUAAAAAAUGAUUUGGAUGACCGUUUGUCUAAACGGACAUUCUAGACAAACAGGCUUGGUGACGGUUGUGUAAUAUGAUACCUAAAUUUUAGUAACUCGUUAGCUGAAUUUCGAUCAUGGUAGAUGUCUUGUAAUUGUCUUAUAGAUGUUUACUAACAAAGAAAAAAAUGAUUUGAAGGAAAUAUCGAUUAUAGAUGUUAUAACAACUAAAAAGGAAAAUGUUUUGAAGGCUAAUAUCGAUAAUAACAAAAUAGUUUGAAGGCUAAUAUCGAUAAAAACAAAAUAGUUUGAAGGCUAAUUCAUUCUUCAUAUGAAACAGGGUAAACUAUGGUUCAAAUUAGAUAAAUUAUUUCUAAAAUUAAGAUUUGUGCGGUAAUUUUGCUAAUUUCAAAAGUUCAUAUUUUAUUUUGGUUAAUUAGUAUAAUUUUUCCUAAUGACUGCAUAAUGUUCAUAAUUUUUUUCUAGUUUAGUAUUAUCGAUCAUAACCUAUAUACAUUAAAAUCUUUUUUCUCAUGUUAAGUAACUCAUCAUGUGAACAAGUAAGUGUGUGAGAAUUCUAUCUGGAAACUUCCUAAUACAACCAAAAUAUAUUUCAAGAUACUACUAUUCGAAAAUGUCACUAGACUAAAAUUUAUCAAAUGGAUAUCUAAUAAAGAAUCUAGCCGAUCAUUCUCAUAGUGAGUGACAUCCGAAUAGAUAUCGUUAGAUUAGAUACGUCAAGAUUCCAAUUUCCAUUAAAAGAUCAGAAUGUAAGUAAUAUAUAUAUAUAUAAUUAGUAUUAUUUAGUCAAAGAUUGCAGAAUCCACAAAGAUGAUCACAAAACCUUAUUUCAAAUUCAAAAUGAGACUCAACAAUCUUUCUCUACAACGUGCAACACAAUCCCAUCGCAUGCCAUGUAAAAAAGUGGAAACUUGUAGAACAAUCAAUCCCCAUAUUAUUAUUAAGUUUCAAAAGAGACCUCAUAAUUUUCUUUGUUAUCAAUACAUACCCAUUUUGUUUGGUCAAGUCAACAAAUGAUCAUUCUCUUUUCUUUGCCAUGAUAAAAUUAGACGGUAAGUACUUUAUGCCUCCAACUAAUGUACCAACAACCAUACUCUAAUCAAUAAAAUUUUAAACUUAAACCGACUAAUGCUUCUAAUACUACAUUACAUAGUUUGCCGACAGUUUUCAUAGACUUAACUUUUAGCUGUUAUAUUUUUUUCGGAUCCAAGAAACUAAUCAAGAACGACUAAGUUUUUUCUAUUAUAUUGCUAAUAAAUUUGCCUUCUUGAUAUUUUAUGAAUAUUUUUGUGUUACCUUUUGUUGUCAACAUGUAACAUACGGAAUUUGAAUUUGGAUAUUAACACAAAUCACUAUACAGUAUAUUGGUAAAGCCACUAAAACAAGAUGCGAUUGACUCCAUUAAAUUAUAAAUUUACAAUUAAACGUAUUUUAAGUGAUGAAAAAACUUGUAGCACAAUUAAUCACCCGUAACAACAUUUACAUUGCCCCCCUAUAGUGACUAAGUUUGUUCUUAAUCCACCACUGAUUUUUGAAAUUUGUGACGGAAAGUACAUAGAAGAAGAGUCAUAUAUAGUACACUCUGUUAAAUGAUUAAAGGGUCGAUGACCCAAAAAAGUGAUUCAUGUGACUAAGUAUUAUAUCUUAAUCCUAUCAAAAAAAAAAAGAAGAAAGUAUUAUAUCUUAAAUUAUUACGAGAAUUUGCUUCUUCGGGUCAAAAGAAAAAAGAAAGUGAUGAAAAUGGGAGGAAUAAUUAGGAUAAGUAAUAAAUAUUCGACUUUUUGUUUUACUUAUAACGAGCUAUACAUUUACGUAAAUUAGGAUAAGUUAAAUCCAGCGGUGGUUGUAUAGAAAACUAGUCCACAGUUUUUAACACACUUGAAAACAUGUUUUAAGUAGCAUGUGUACUUAAACAUGUUUUCAAGUCCAGUUUUAGAGUAAUAACAGUGGUGAGAAUUCGAAAGAGAGGAGAAAAGGGUCUUUCUUCAUAUAUAUAUUGUUGUAGCAAUAACAGCAUUUGUGGUCUGAUGUGAUUAACUAAAGUUAUUGCAUAUAAUGUAUACAAGUCUAGUUCACAAACUAAGCUAAGCUAUACGUCUAAUAGGCCUCGACCCUUUCUCUUCCAACAAGUGUUCAGUCCCGCGAGUUUUGCAUCAGCUCGAACCACUGCAAAAACAAAAACAAAAGUUGUAUGAUUUUUAAGUCUUUGACAAUGUUUUUUUCUUUUCCUCACAAGGUAAAAAAAGAAAACAGAGAAUGGAUAGUGAAAAGUUACCUGUCUCAACACAUCACCAAGUGUUCUGGGUAAGGCUUCGAUGUCUCUUAGCACAAUGUAGUAUGGGAAGGGGAAGGAAUCCAAGUAAUUCAUUUUCUUAUAGGGUCUUCUUUCACCAUCAUAUACAUAGUCCUGAUUAGAGGAAAAAAGAAGAAGAAGAAGAAGCAGUUUUUAGCACCAUGACAACUACUAAUUUCAAUCUUAUGAAUGUGUAGGGAAGUAAUAGAAUUGGACAUACCGCUAAAUCCAGAACAGAUUGCUCUGAGUCAUCGAGAAGAAGAUAUACCACCAUACGUUUCUGCUGGAGAAAGCUUCUGACAGAUCGUUUCAAUUUCUCUCGCUCAUGGAACUUUCCAUCGCCGAUGAUUAGUACAAGUUGUUGAAGCGGGUUGCUCCCGUAAGACUGUCUUCUUGUGCUGGCCAAAUUCUCUAGCAUUUCAUUCAUGUUUCUCAGUAGAUUGACGACUGGUUGAUCUUCAAUGAGAUUUUCUUGUUUAAAUGUCAAGUUUGAGAUCAUCUGCAUCACGGAAACGAGAAAAGAGGUGUUCUGUAAGCAAUAAGAAGACAAUCCACAGUGCAACACAUGGAAAAUGAAAGAUUUGAGGCCACUAACCUUAAUGCCGGAUUCUGUGGUGAAAGACUGACCAAAAUCAUGUAACAUCUUUAUUUUCCCUUGCUUCCCGAAACUUGCUACAGCCAAACUUCCCAUCUCAAGCUGUGACAUAGCUCGACAUACAGUUGCCAAAGCUCUAAUUGCAAAAUCACCACAUCCACUUUCUGACAUGCUACGGGAAUCAUCCACAGCAAUAACUACUUGAUAAUCACGCUUGUUUGGUUUUGUCCUCCUCAACCAAAUUUUAUCUUUCCGAUAGUGACUUGCUAUGUACGGAAUAACCUUCUUCAUGUUGAUCCUUUUACCUGUUCUGUAGUCACCACUGAGCUUGCUAGCAAGCGUGGGUUCUAAGAUAAGCCGUAGUUGCUCAGCCAGCUCCUGAGAGGGUUUUGCAGUAAGCAAUUCACAUCUCCUCCAAAGAACAACAGCAUUACUUUUGGCAUCUGGAUCUUCCUGAUUAUCCUGAUUGCUUUCCGAGUCAUUAUCAGUCACUUGCAUCCGGUCCAGAUUACAUACAUCUUCCCCCAAGAAAGUAUUGUCGACAGAGACCAUAGAGUCCAUCCUGCUGUUACCAUCACCAAAAUUAUGAAUAGGAGAAUUCUCUUGGUGGGUCCUGUCUGUAUCUGGUUCUUGGACCUGUUCAGCGAUGCUAUUACUGAUCGAUGGUUUGGAUUGGACAGCAGGUUUGUUUUCGGGGUUCAAGUCAUCAAUAUCCAUUGGAGAGACAUCGUCCUGAUUACCUGCGAGUUUUUCUUCUUCAGAUUGCCCUUCUCUCAUAUCUGUGUUCACUUGCUCAGGCAACGCAGGUCCUAGAGCUUGGGAAGUUCCUGCAUCAAACUGAGAAGCAUAUCCAUAUUCACUAGCAUCAGGGUCUUCCAUCUCAUUUUCAGCCUCUUGCUUUUCUCCAAGGUCUGAGGAGAUUCUAACUCUUUCUUUCCACUCCUUCAAUGCAUCACCAACGUUCCUAUAAGGAUUCACCUUGGUUUGUUGAGCAGUAGAUGACUGGUUUUGUGGUAAUUCCAUCUUUGGUAUGUUGUCUGUCAAUGUCUCACCAUUGGCCAGGUUGGUCAUCAUGAGGUUCAUCUCAGUAUUAUUACUCGAAGGCAGAUCCAUUGAAUCCGUGAGUACAUCCGUAACAUCAGUAGCAGACAAAUUUUCUUGUGGUGCUGUACUUCCUGCACCCAACACAUUAGAUCCAUGGGGAUUUUGUGAACCAGACUCUACGCCAGAAAUAUUAUCAUUACGGAAGUUCGGUUUCAUCAUGUCUUCUGACAUAACUUCUUUUCCUUCUAUUGGUUCCGUUUCUGGUUUCUGUUCAUGAUCAUUUCCAGGUUCUUCUUUUUGGGGUGAUCCACACCUAUCUUCAGCCUCAGCCUCCAUAUUUUCCUCAGCAGGCUCUUGAGUUUCAUCUUGAUCAUUUUCACCUUCUUCAGGAUGCUUUUGAUCUUCUGGACAAGGUUCUUCCUGCUGAUCUGCAUCUUCCUUUUCGACCUCCUCUGUUUUGUCAAUCUCCAUGUCAUCAUCAAUUUGUUCAUUAUCGACAUCAGGAGUUAGUCCAGCAAGUGCUUCUUCCUUGGUCUGGAUUUUUUCUUCUAGAUUUUCUGUAUCACCAAAAUCAUCCUGAUCUACAUUCUCAUCGUUUCCUUCUUCCGGUUUGUCAGAAGUAUUGGACUCCUCAGGCUCAUCGGCAGUGUCAACACCAUCAUCCUUAGCUCUUAGCUCCCUUGAUCUUGUGUCCUUGUCGACUAUAGAUGGUCCAGAUUCAUUCUUCUCAUUCAUAUUUUCUUCCCCAUCUUCUUCAUCCUUGUUCCAUGGCUUUUCAUCAGCUUUUUCGGCAUCAGAUCCCGCAUCUCCUAUUGCCGAAUCCAACUGCUCAUCCUCACUUUCUUCAUCUUCCUUGUCUUCUUCUUCAUCCUCACUAACGCUGUAUUCUUUGCCAUCAAAUUCGUCACUCAUCUCAAUGCCUUUGUUUUUACCCAGCACAUCAUCUUGCUCUUUCUCUUCCUCUUCCUGCAAAGAAAACAGAAGAGAACUUAAUUGGUAUAACCCCAUGCAAAAUUCAUUCAGGAUGAGUGGCAGGCAAUAAGGAAAGAGGCGAUAUAAACCUUCUUAUCUGUGCCAUGCAGUUGAUCUUCAUCUUCUAUUUGGUCACUUACAUCUUUUGCCCCCACACCAUCUCCCAUACCAGUACCUUCUGCAGUUUCCGAUUUUUCAGCUUUAGAGCCAUCAUCUUCAUCAUUUUUGGAGAUGCCAAAUCCUUUUGUAAAUAGAUCGGCAAGAACACUUGCAAGGACAUGGGUUAUCAGUGACACCUACAGACCAAAAGCAUUGAUGUUGUUGUCUUAUUGGAAUCAAUUAGCAGAAGGUGAGUAAAUGCCGAGAUCUCUGCACACUAACUAACAUACUUGACAUUAAGGAGGUAGUUGAAAGAAAAUAUAUCAAUUAACAGGAUCAGGUUAGAGAGACGAUUGUCCCGAAUGACUUUGAAAGAACAACAUAAGAUAAACACAUACCGUUUUGCUUAUCGCCAAAAACUCUUUGAGGUAACAGUCUCCAAAGCUCAAUAAAAGAUCCAAAAAUGCUUGAAGUUGCUUCAACUGGUCUCCAACACCAGCUGAAAGGACGCCUGAAGAGUUCAACAGUUGUUCCUGUGAAGAUAACAGCCUCAGUUCAACAUAAGCUUGAAAAUAAAAGGCAAAAUAGCAUUCGCAUACUUCAAAAGACAAUCCAACUUACGAUGGAACCAAAUGAUUCGGACAGCAGUUUACACAGGUUAUCAAGGUUCAAGUCAUUUUCUGCCUUCUUAAACAGACCAUCCCAUGUAGUAAUAUUCAUUUCCUCUUCUUGAGAAACACUUCCAUCUUUAUAAGAACAAAGCUUUCCAAUCACAUCCUUAACAUUUGAAAAUAUACUUGCAAGAUUUUCUUCAAGAAAAAGUCGUUCCUUGGGUUCCAUUCCAGUUGACUGGUCUCUUACGUUAAGUAAACAGUUCAGAUUUUCAGCCAGCAAUUUCCCCUGCAUUAAAUACAUUUCAUAAAUAUGACUCUAAGAACCCUAAACACAAUUUAUUUGCUAGGUUUGCAUCUGGAAAAAGGUAAAAAUAAUCCACUAAGGCUGAAUAAAUACCUCUUUAAACACAGGGGAAAAUUGACUGAGAAGAACGUCUCUAGCAUAGCUUUUCUCAUUGUCUUCACAAAAACUUGAAAUUUGAUUCUCAAGGUCCGUAAGUUGAUCAAAGUUCUGGCGUAGCAUCUGAACCAUAUGCUGAGUGACAAACUGCUUAAGACAGCUACUUGGUGUGAUGAUAAAACCGUUGCAAUCAAGUAGAAGCCUAUCCAGCGAAGCCUGAUGAUAACAACACAUUCAGACUCUUGCAAGAAAUAACAGACCAGAAAGAUUUAAAAGAAGCCCAAGGAUACUGCACCUUGGAAUUUUGAGCGAUGGGAAUUAGUUUUUCAAUAAAGCUGAGCAAACUCCGUGAUGAGGUUUUCACAGCUUGACAGGAAUCCAAGUGUGUACUUCCAACUGUUCUCAGUAAGGUCGACUCCUCAAGAAGCAUUGCAGUGAUGUUAUCAAAGAGUUUCUGCCAUAUCACAAAAAAAAUGUAAAAGCUUAAUCCAGUGUUGUUGCAACAGACAUUCAGGGCACAUCAUUCAAGUUAGAAAGCUGAAAUACCUUCUGUAGCCACAAGCAAUUGAAGAUAGCAUGUUGAUUUUGGGGGAAACUGAACACAGAAUCAUCCUUUUUGUCCACACCAAUUGAGUCACCCAGUAAUCUCGCUAGAGAUAAAACACAUUGGCGAAAGCGGUUUAAAAGUUCGGUAAAGGCAUAAGCAGAUUUCCUUUGCUGCCGUUGUAUUUCCACAAGAUGGUUGAGAAAUGAGAUUGCCCGCUUAACCUGUUAACAUAGGAUAUUUAGUGAAACAACUGGUUUAAAACUGAGACUCAAUGAAGCCCAGAUAUAAAUUACAAGCUCCAAAGUCUACCUGCUCAGCUGUUACAUCUGAGUGUUUUCGGUCAAUAUUUAACAUGAGCUGCACUGAAGCCAAGCUCUUAAAGUAAAACUCAUUUGCCACUCUCCACUCAACUAGUGAAUUUUCCUUGUUUUGAUCUUCUACAGCCUUGGAAGGAUGCAUGCUACUUUCGGUAUGUGUUAGCAGCAACAGAUGCUUUGGAUCGUAUGCUGGCUGAUAAAGCAACCCUUUAAAGUGGUUUGACAUCUAUAAAAGAAGACCAUCAGAGAAUAUAGAUGAUCAAUAAAUAGAGCAUGACUAGAAGAAACAUACACAGAAAUAUCGACAAGCAAAAGUAUAUUACCUCUACAUUUUCAAACUUGUGUUUCUGCAAACCACUACUUUCUAAUAACUUGAGAAGUUCAAACAGGGCCCUCUUCUUUGCAACAUCUCUAUCACUGUUUCUCCAUAGAUCUGAACAGCCAGCUAUGGUUUCACCAAUCCUAGCAACUGUACUCCACAAAUUUUUCCAAUCACCCUGAUAGACAGGGGACGAAUACUGAUGCUCUGCAAAUAUAUUAUGCAAGCUUAAGAAUAUGCAGAUUCCCCAAAAAUAAAGGAAAAUCACCAAAUAGAACCAAGAGUGAAUGGAGCUAGUGUACAAACGAACCUUCACCCAUCAGCAAUGUUUUGAAGUGCAUUUCUUGGUGAAAGCGUCCUACCGAUUCCUUUAAUUUAUUCCACCAUACUGCAUACCAUGAAGACCUACCAAGAAAAAUUUAAAGCAUAAAUGAUGGAGGGUUCAGCUUCCAUAAACUUCUAACAAUGCAUGCAGAAAGGUACAUGAUGCAAAUGUAUACCUGUCAUUCAAUUGCUCUGCAUCUAAAGCACUAACUAGGCCCUCGAUCCUCAUGUCGGAUGCUCCAUUCAUAAGAUCUGGAUCUAGUAGAGGGAGAAAUUGAGUUCGUUCCUUCGUUAGGUCUGGCCUAACAAGCAUUACAGGGAGCCGCAGCAUGUCCUGCUCAACAAAAGAUACCAUUUAGAAAACUUUUUAAUAAGGUCCCAUCAUUUCAACUAAUAUAAGGAAACAUAUAUAAUUGAAUGUCGUCUGUUUAUAUAAUAACCCCCAGAAAAUGAAGAACCAAUAACUUACCGUAAACUUGUGUAUCAGUUUCUUGACCUUCUGCCUGGUUCUUUUAGUGGUCUCAUUGUACAAAUAAUUAUCUGGCCUCUCCCACCGACAAAGUUUUAGAACCUCCUUUAACUCAGUUUCAACAUUUUUUCUAUUCAAAUCUAACUGCUCCAUUACACUGGUAAGAGAAAUUUAAAUUGAGAACACUACCCUGGCCAAAAUAAUCUUGAACUAAUAACCUCAAGCCAGAAAUGGAAAGGAGCUUACAUCGGUAGGAAUUGUAUAUAGAAUCCGAAAAUAUUGUAGCAAAUUUCCACCUUCCUCUUGUGUGAAUCACUGUCAACGUAAAAGCGCGAGUUAAUGGCAAAAAACAAAGACAGUCAAGUUAGAAGUCAACUGUAAAAACAGCGGAGGAGCAACCAAUUGUGAGGACUCAAGUAAAUAAUGCUGAAGCCCCUUUAAAUCCUUCAAGAAUAAUACCGAUGAGGAAAGAAGAAAAGAAAAAAUCAGGCGAUAAUUCAUACGCAGCUAACCUUGAAUAUAUCCCCAACGAGCUACCCAUAAUUAAUUGAAGAAGGAAACAAAAGAGAAGCUGAAGACGUCUCCUAAAUUCACCAACAUUUGACGAUUCAAUGAACUCCACCAAACUGCAACAAAAAUAUCUGUUAGAUGACCGAAUACAUGCAAGAAUGCAAAUGUAAGCACCACAUCAUUUGUUUGGUGCACACCUUUGUGAAAUGGACUCGUUUUCAUCUUCUGAAAUUUCAACACCAUCCUUCUGAAACAGAACUGAAAACAAAGGAAGCCACAAC